GGGCUGCUCCCCUCGAUUGGUUUGCCGCUUUAACGGAGCCAGAACCCGGAGGGGCGAGAAGGUUCUAAAUUCUAAUCGCAUCCCGGUGUUUGGCAAUUGGCACUUUGGCUUGCUGACCAAGCCGGUUAGUUACGGUUAUCACCAUCUAACCACCUACAGUGCGGUGAUUUUUUUUCACUAAUCCAUGUGGUUAUAAGCUCUGACGGUAAUUUUUCGUUAAUCUCAUGUUUUUUUUAGACAAAAAGGUUAUUAAAAACUAGAGCAUUGCAAAGCUGUGGAUCGAGGAGGAUUCACCAAACCAAACCGCACCGAUGUAUCGUGGUAGUCCAUUGUACGCUUGUUUGGGACCAUGGAUUAGUUUCAGUCUUUCAGAGAAGAAAAAAGAAUGUUACGCUUGUUGCCUUGUUUCCUAUGCUCGACUUGUCGCGGCCGGAGAUUGCACGGUGCGCCAGGCCGCCAGUUGGCAGAUGCCGUUUGUGACGGACGAUGUGGUGCGGUCCGUGUAUGGCAAAAAAUGGAGUGAAGCUAAGCCACCGCGCGUGCACUUCCCACCGAUCGCGAUUCACAGCCGCACGGGCACACGGCACACUAGUACCAGUACUACUCCCACGCGAACGAAUCAUCGGAAGUGGCCGUGCGCGCGUUCCGGCCGCUACAUCGCGCCGCGGCAGCGCGCAAGCCGUGGAAGAGGCCAAGCGUCUUGUGCGGCUGCUACAUUUGCCUCCGCUCCAAAUAGAGACGUUGGUACUGUACUACCGUGUUUUUCAGGCUCACCAUCAGCAGUAGUACUCUGUAACAAUAGGCUUGGACGGCUGCCCCAAGUUAUCGGUUUAUCACUAAUCAGGUUCUCUAACCUCGAACAAAUCCCCAUCUUAUAUGAGAUUUAGCACGCAUCAGCCAGCACACACAGUUGAGGAAUGCCGUGAACAAGACAUUAAUCGAUGAACUGUUUGUCAUAAACACGUGGUUUAUGACAAUAUUUCAUCAAUUUGUCAUACAGAAAGUUCAAACAGUCGAUCUUAUUUGAUCCUGCAAGCUAACACAAGCAAUGCUAGUUGAUAAAAAAAGGGUGCUAAUUUAUAGUAUUUGAUAGUUUGCGAGGAACUAGUCAUCUGUAAAAAUGUUAACAAAAACCCAAAUCAGGUAAAUGCUAUAUUUGUCACGUGAAAUCAAGCUUCAAACCCCCAGCAGUUGCAAGUUGCAACAGUACAUUAAUUCUAUUAUACGGUUGCACCAGUACAUAUUACAUUCGCUAAUUUUCAGACUUCAUAACUAUGGUAGCCACUAACACCAACUAAAUGAGGAUAUGCUCUACAUGCAGUUGAUGUUUCCAUGAUGAAAUAAACCAGCCUUGGUGCUAGCAUCAGUACACAAUCAUAGUACUAAAAGUCCCUCGCACUUCGUCCUUUUUUUUAGAUGGAUCUUUGAAUACUUUUGCACUUGCAUUAUUACUUAUUAGACAGCGAUAACUGUCUAGCAUGCAGUUUUAUGAAUCAGAGUAUGAAUAUUCAAGAUCAUAUGAAAGGAGCAAGCAUGCAUGCAGCGCUGUAGCCUUUCAAUCUGUACGGAUUACUAAUUACCAGCUUAUUGUUGGAAUAAUCCUCACACUUGUGUAUUUUCAACACAAAACAAACAUAUUAUCAAAAUUGAUUCAACGUUAGAAUUAAUAAAACUAAUUUAUAUUUUAGAUGCUGAUAAUUUUUUCUAUAAGCUUUAUCAAACUUAACAAAGUUUGAUUAGGAAAAAAAGUUAAACGGUUUAUAAUAUGAAACGGUGGGCCAAAAGUUUGCUAGAAUUAUUCUGCGGCUGCUCAAAACCGUGGUUCAGACGUUCUGUAAUUGUAACUGAGAUAGUAACUAAUAGUCUCCUAAUUGUUCUGUACAAUACUAAUCGUCAUCGUAUUCGUAUGGUUCUAGCAGGUUCAGCAAACGGAGGAACAGGAGCAAACUAAACGAGUUAGCCUGAACAUACAUUCACUGAUACAUAGUAUUAAAACUCUGUACGGAAGUAUGGCAGUGAUAUAUAGUAAAAAUAUGAAUUCACAUAUCAUAAAAUUUCUCAACCGCAUACCAGUUAGGAAAUCUAAACAAUCACCCAUCAAAUAUGCGAGAACUAGAACUCAGCGUACCAUCACGAACAAUGUCGUCAGCCAUCCAUCAGUUAACAAACACUGGUUGUCCAAGAUAGCAGAGAGUUAAGCCAGAUAUCUAAUUAAAGACACUACGCAGCAUCAGUCAGGGCGUUUGGUUUCUGAACUGCCUAGUGCCCCGGAUAUGUCAAACAGAGGAAGCAGGGAGAAGAAACAAGAUUUCCAAACAAAACUUUCAUCUGAAACUCAACACUGAACUAUUCAUACAAUACUUUCACCUGAAACUCUAGGAACUAUGUUUGAACCGUCCAUGGAGACAUGUGACACGAAGUCUCGCAUCAGACACGAUGCCUCAUAUGCGUCGGUAGCCUUGACAAUGACAAAUGACAAGUACCUGAUGAAUGAAAAAGAAGAAAACACACACAUGAGGUUCAGUGAAGAAAAUUCUCUCUUGUAUGCGAGUGCAUGUGAAUUGGAGUGGUCGGCGAUCUAAAGAGGAUGGAAAGAGGCUCACUUAGGAAAAGCAGUGGCAUUCCUCAGUUCCUGGAACCUAGGAUUGAUGAAGAGCCUUCCAGUGGUUGACAGCAGUUCAUCAGCUUUGUCUCUCGAAAAGUUCAAGUCGAGCUCAUCCGUCAGAUUCUGCAAAUUAACACAAGCAAUUCUAGUUAGUCAUAAAAUGGUAAACCUCUGUUCAAUAACUUGAUAGGAACUUAGCUUAUGUAUUUUUUUUCCAGAAGCUAAAUUGCAACAGUACUUGCACUAGUAAAUAUAUGUCUAUAUUAUACUCAGUGAUUUUCAGACUUCAGGGUCAUUAAUACAAACAAACGAAGUUGCUGUUAUGGAAUAUAUUCUAUCAGUAUUCCGUAGUGUUAAAUGACAUACAGAUACAUGAUCAAAAUACAGCAUUACAACAUUGUAACUACUAAAAUGUAGAAGGUACUAAACAUGCAAAUUCACAUAUAGUCCUUGAUCGAUUCCCAUUAAUUUACAAUGUCAAAAGAACUAUACAGUGCAAAUCUGUAUCUGCUAGAUUAGAUGCACCCUCUGGUGUGCAGGAUGGCAGGAUUAAUCAUGAACCGGCCAAAUGAGAUGUGCAGACCAUGCCCAGCAUCAAAAUAACUCAAACAUGAAUAGCACAAAUGGACAAAGCACAUCAGCAUGCAGCGAUGAGAUAGAGCAAAGAAGUGAAGAACAGCGCAGCGUACGUACCAUCUGUCUCAUCAUCCUCUCCGCGGCAGAUCGAAUGUGGCAGCUCCCAAGCGCGGACGUGGCGAGAGGAGUGGUACAUCGUCGGCAGCUGGGGCAUCUUGUACUUCUUGCACUCGAGCACGAUUCUGGUGACCAGGUCGACGGCGAACAUCCACGAGUUCCGCGAGGUGAUCUGGAAGAAGAACACCACGCCGAGCUCCUUGGGGUGGAGGAGCGCGAGCACCGGAACGCGCCGCGGCAUCAUGGUCUUCCGGUAUGUCACGUGGUCCCAGAUCUCGUCGACGCGCACCCGGUGGCGGAGCGACCAAACCGACUCCUCCCCCGCAUCAGACUGCUGCAGCGUCCACAUGCUGAUCAUGAUCGUCGAUGGCGCGCCGCGGCCGGCGGCGGUGUCGUAGUCGUGGAUCUGCACGAACGCCAGCUCGCCGUCGCUCACGUUCACGCACCGGUGCUUGGCGUGGUCCGCGUCGCUGGAGUACGGUAGCUUGCAUCCCUCAGGGAGCGGCACGAAGCGCAUGUCUGGCUUCGCGGCGAACGCGUCGCAGGUGAGGAGGCCGAAGGAGAGGUCCACCCACCAGAGCAUCCCGGCGUGGACGAUGACGCCGUCGCCGCACCACGACCGGCGGCCUGGCGGGUAGUUGACCUUCGUUGAAGCCCACCCUCCGAGUCCGAGCUCCUGGGAGUAGCGUAGUAGGGUGGCACGGUGGAUGCCAUUGCCGGACUCUAUCUGGAGCUCGGCCAACAAGCGGAUCGGGUGGUCGCCAUCCGCUGCCGUUCUGCGGAUCAUGCCGACGUUCCCGGCGUAGAGGAGCCGGUACUCGUCGGAGCAGGGCGGGUAGAGGUAGGCCAUGCGGAGCGUAGCGUGGCAGAGGAUGUAGCCGCCGUCGUUGGCGCAGCUCGGUGCAGGGUCGAAUCCGAGCGCGACGCCGGGGCCGAAAUCGUGGGCGCUCCUCCUGGCGCCGCGGAGCAGGAGUCCGCCGGCGGAGUCGACGGCGACGACGUAGGGGUGGUCGUCGCGGUCGGGGCAGAAAUCCCGAGGCGCGGGGGAGACAAAGACAGAGUCGCUCUGGCGCAAGGUAAGGAGGGAAACGCCCGGCGGGUCGCGCCAGUCGAAGGCGAGGUGGUCGCCGGCCUCGAAGUCGCCGUCGGAAGAGGACACGCUCGGGACGCAGGCCAGGAUCACCCACGUGGCCUCCCGCGGCGGCGCCGCCAUCCUCUCGUCCCGCCGGAACUUGGGCGCCGCGCCGUCGAACAGGUGCGGGCUAUGCUCCAUGCGUCUCUUGCUGCUCCGAACUUCCGAAGCGGCGGCGGCGGCGGCGGCGUUGGAGUGGUCGGUGGCGGCGAUGGGAGGGGUGGGAUGAACUGGAAAUGGGCUGCUCCCGUCGAUUAGUUUGCCGCUUUAACGGAGACAGAGCCCAGAGGGGCGAGAAAGUUCUAAUCGCAUCCCGGUGUUUGGCACAUUGGCUUGCUGAACAAGCCGGUUAGUUACGGUUAUCACCAUCUAACCUCCCUACAGUGCGGUGAUUUUUUUUUCACUAAGGGAUGUACAGUGGUGUUUAAUAACAGGCUCUUUUCGUUGUCAUGUAAGUAAAUUUGGUGACGUGGAAGAAAGAGAAGGAAGGAAUGAGAAACAUCGUUGCUACGCAUGACAACGGCUCAGAGUCGACUCUUUGCAUUUAUUAACAGAAAGUUUGUUGCAUGAGGGUAUAGAAAAGGAAAGAAGUAUAAUAAAAAAAUAUUUAGUGUAUUAAUGGUUUAGAAAUCUUAUUAUCUCUAUUAUUAUAGAAGGAUAGUCUCUAGUGAUAUUAAUUAAUAUAGAGAACUCAUAUUAGUCUCUACCUUUGUACAUGUUCUAAGCCAUGUGGUUAUAAGAUCUGACGGUAAUUAUUCGUUAAUCUCAUGUUUUUUGGGGAAAAAAUGGUUUAAAACUAGAGCAUUACUCGGCACCGAUGUAUAUUGCAAAGCUGUUGAUCGAGGAGGAUUCACCAAACCGCACCGAUGUAUCAAUUUUUGCAGUAAUCUAAAUGUCAUACAUUAGUAUACUCACUUAAUUACUCUAAUCAGUAGCAGUAACUCGAACUCUCGAAGGUGGAUAAAAGGUAAAAAUUAUUACUAGCGAAUCCAAAUCUACCCGUCGGGGCCCACAUCUGGUGGCUGCCGACGAACUGGAUACCAUAUCCCAUCCGCAGUCGCCGGCGGACUGUAAGAAUUGCCGAAUCGGUGGCGAUUGUGAGGGGGAAUAAGUUCACUGGAGGUCCCUCAACUUAACAGCGAGAUUUUUUGAGUUCCCUUAACCAUAAAAUCAGAAAUCUUGACUCCUAAACUAUACAAAACGACCGUUCAGUCAAAGUCCGUAGGCAGUAUAUAUAGGACGUGGCACUAGUUAGCAAUUUUUUUAAAAAAAGUACAUGGGACCCACAUGCCAGCUGCACGUUUUUUUCUUCUCCUUCUCUUCCUUUUUCUCUCUUCCCUCUUCCCUUAUUCAGUGAGGAGGCCGGCGGCGGGCGGAGCGGCGAUGGCGGCGUGCUUCCGCUGCGCGCCGUCCGUGACGGCAGCGUCCGUCCCCGCGGGGCCCAGCCAUCUUCCUCCCGACGGGACGGCGUUGUCCUUCGCCGUGCACGACGCCGUGACCGCCUCGACGGCGAGGAUCUCCUCCUCCGCCAUGCUGCAGGGCACCUGGCCGACGAACAGCCGCACCCUCUCGCCGUCGCUAUCCUCCGCAUCUCCGACCAUCACCGUGAUCUCUCUCUCUCUCUCCCGUCUCUUUUCCUUUUCUGAUGGCUAUGCAACCUCCUGUCCGUCCUCUCCUCGUUCUUGCCUGCGUCUUUUGCCUUUCUAUAUCGGACGAGCACUAACCACUGAUUGAUUGAUUGAUCAGUAUCAGUGUCUUGAGUACAAGUUAAUUAAUCGAUGAGUAGUACCAAGUCUUGAUCUCGAGUAGCAGUGAAUGUUUUUUUUUACGGAAAGUAGCAGUGAAUGUGAUCGAAUCAUCUGAUUGAGCGAAAAGCAGCAGCAGCAUUGAUGCCUCCACCUCGCCGUCCAGUGUGACAACAAUGUCGUGCUCAGCGCCGGACUCCAGGAACCACGCCCUCGUGGACCAGCACCCACACCCGACGAGGAGACACUUGGCCUUCCGCGUCCGUCCCUGACUCCUCUGGCGGCAGCGCGGGACGAGGCGGUUCCGCGCCGCCGGCGACCGCCGCGUCGACCUGGCGUGGGACCUCACCUGCACGCGCUUCCCAGGCUUGGGUUCACCCGAGCCUUCCCGUGGUGCCGCCCCACAGACGCAGCAAUUGUGCGGCUGGAACAGCGGCGCCGGCCUCUUCUCCUCCUCUUCCUCCUCCGGUGAGUAUAGAUGGACGGACUACGUCGAUGUUGUGCGUGCAUGCAUGCUGCAAUCUUGGCGUCUCAAUUUCAUGCAUGGAUCUUACGAAGGUCGGGGGAGGACGGCGAUGAUGGCGUGCCUCGACGUCGAGAUGCCAUUCCUGCGGGGGAUCGACGUGAACUGGCCGGCGCCAGCGGGGGAGACGACGACGGUGCGGGGGCGGGGGGGGAGGGGGGCAGCUGCAGCGAGGAGGACGAGGAGCCCGGCGCGACCUCCCCCAACAUUACGGCACACUCUCCAGCCGGCAACAACGACGAGGACUCCGGCGGUGGCGGCGGAUCUCGUGUACCGCAGCCGGGGCAGGGAUGGGAGCAGCAGCAGCAGCAGCAGGAGGGAGAAGAGAAGAGAGAAGAGAGAAAGGAGAAGAAAAGAGAUGAAAAUAAGAUAUGCAGCUGACAUGUGGGCUCCACGUGCUUUAUUUAAUUUUUUUUUCUGACUAGAAUGCCACGUCAGCGAAACCACCCAUAUAUACUACCUAGGGACCUUGAGUGAACGGUUUUGUAUAGUUUAGGGGUGGAGAUUUCUGGUUUUGUGGUUAAGGGACCUUGAAAAAUCUCGAUGUUAAGUUGAGGGAUCUCUGGUGAACUUAUUCCUUAUGAGGGGGGCGCCUGCGAGGAAGACGAUGCCAUAGCUGGCUGGGCCAGGCUGCCUGGGCCAUAUCGCAUAAAGGUGUAACCAAUAAGUUCACUUAGGGUCCCUCAAUUUAUUGUCGAGUCUAAUAUUUAUCCCUAGACAAAAACACUGAAGUAUAGCUCAUUCCCCAACUCACAGUACAAUGUUAACUUUGGUUCCUUGGUAGUAUAAUGGCCGGUUUUAGCUGACGUGGUGGGUGGAAUCCACGUGGGUCUCACAUGUCAGCGGCCAACUCUUCUCCCUCCUCUCUCUCUCCCUCUCUCCCCUUCUUCCCUCCCUUCUCCAUGAGGGUGAAGAGCUCCGGGCAGGAGGGAAUCGAGGGACUCCUCGGCACGUGUGCUCUUGCAGCUUGGCGGUGCGGGCGUGGAGGCCGGUGUCCGAGAGCGUGGAGACCUCGGGUUCCAUGGAGUUGUUACGCGCCACGGUGUCGGCAUACCUCUUCCACGCCGUUUUUCUGUCGCCACCCCCAGCCCCACCGAACAUGCAUCCUAGCACGCCCCCAGCCCUGCGUGCACGACGACGCAAUCCCCACCCAGCCGCUGCGGCCCUGGAGGCUCUGUCUUCCACGCUGAAGGCAGCAGCCGAAGGCACCACCGAGGUCGGGGGAGAAGAAGAUGAUGAAGAUGAAGCGUGAGAAGUAGGGGUGGAAACUUAGGUCUCGAUUGGUAUUCGGUUUUUCGAUUAAUUCGGUCAUUGAAAAGUGAAGACUGAAUUUCAACAUAAAAAUAUCAGGAAUGGUAAAUUCGGUCUCAGUUUCAGUUUGGUAUUUAUCCGGUUUUGGGCGGGCGGGGUUGCUGCUUGCUGCUCGUUGCUUGACAGUUUCCGACGAUCUCAAUGGUUUAACCUUGUUCAAUUAUACAAGUGGAAUUUCAAUUUAAUGUUUACUCCCUCCGUUUCAGGUUAUAAGAUGUUUUGACUUUACUUCGAGUUUGACCAAGUUAUAGAAAAAAAAUAGUAAUAUUUUUUACCCAAGAUAAAUUUAUUAUAAAAAUAUAUUGAAUUAUUAAUUUAAUUAAACUAAUUUGAUAAUGUAAAUAUUACUAUAUUUGUUUAUAAACUUAGUCAAACUUAAAGCAUUUUAACUUUGACCAAAGUCAAAAUAUCUUAUAAUCUGAAAUGGAGGGGUACAAGUAUUCAUGAUAAAAUCAAAACUCUAUUGCUAGUACGUAUAUUUCUAAUCCUAAUCCUAGUAGAAUGCGAUUAGAGUCAACACACGGUAUCUCGGAUGGGAGAGUCGCUUAUUUGGUUCAUCGAUCUUUCCGUGUGUUCUCGACGUGUUCCCCGGACAGGACGUACCGUAUUCUCAUCAAUAUACUAUACAGGCGAAAAUCUGCAGGUGAGAGAGGUUGUCAAAUUUCUUUUCUGCUUUUCUUUUACUAUUCUCUCUCUCUCUUUCGCUUGAUAUUCCCAAACUAUAUAUAUACACAACAUAAUGACAUGCAUCUAGGACCAAAUUAAACUCAUCGCAUGGAGGGGCAACAUGAAAACGAGUUACAGGAAAGACAAGCAAAUCGCCCCAAGCGGAGGAGACGGCGGCUGCCGUGGUGGUACUCGGUUCAGAUCGACACGAAACGGCGAAUAGGCAGAAGAACCAGGCUACUCCUGAGAGAAAACUGCGGCCUCUACUCGAUAUGCCAGGGUAGGUACUUAAAAUUCACACGCCUGGGCUCCCAUCGCUCUCUCGUCAUUCGAGCGAAGGAACUGCAAUCCUCCUACUACCACCGCGUCCUCGAGGCUGGGAUGGAGAGCUGGGAGGAGUACACCGUGCAGGACAGGGAGGAGGUCCGGGCGCUGAUAGACGAGAUCGUCGAGCUCUACCGGAGAUCGAUUCCCAGGCCGCCGCACGACGUGGUUCGCGAACGUCGACGACGUGGGCAUCGUCGGAUCGUCGUUGUCGACGACGACGUUCGCCGCCGCAGUUGCAUGCCGUCGUCGUCGUCCUGCGUGUUUGUGGGGGGCGCUGUGUUUCUCAUUGUUCUUAUGGGGUGGAUCUUUGGGCAUGUGUUUCUUCUUGUUUUUUUCUCGUGGAUCUUAAGCUUUGUUUGUUUCAACUCAAGGUUUCACUAGGUUAUUGUAAUCUAAUAUAAACCAGAUUACUAUAAGCUGGAUUAUAAUAAGUUAUGAGUUUUUUCUCUAGAUUAUUGGGUUUGAAAAGCUAAUGUCUAUAAUACCCUAAGCUAUUGCGGAGUGGGAGGAGGAUGAGAGACGGCGGCGGCAUGGCUUGGGAAGGAGCCGGAGUGUAGGGUGGGAGCUUAGGGAAGGAUUUGCACGCGACUAGGGAGAGAGAAAGCAGAUGCACGUGCGGCCGAGGGAGAUUCGCGCGCGACUGGAGAGAGAGGAAGCGGAUGCGCUCAACCUGAUAGGUUCGAUGGUAGUGGUGGAUAAUUUGCAUAAAAUUUUUAAGGGUAGUGGGUCUUUAGCCGGACAAUAAUAUGAAAAAAAAACGUUUAGAUGAGACUACCAGAUUAUACUAAUCUGGUUUAUAAAUUAUAAUAAUCUAUCAUAAUAAUCCACUUAUUUGCUUCAUAUUAUUACUAAUAAUCCAAAUCCUAUCUUAUUAUAUAGUUGAUGUCCACUAACUACUAAAGCUUAACAUGUAACUGUUCCACGUCAUCAUCCACUAGCAAUUAUUAUCUAGAGUAUUUUAAAUCACAUGCAAGUGUACCAUAUCAUCACCCAUUAGCAAUUAUUAUUUAGAGUAUUUUAAAUAUCAUGCAAACAUGACAUAUCAAUUAUAAUUUUGUUGUAUUUUUAGAACUCAAUAUGCAAGCAAUAUUAAAUCGUUAUAUAUCUCUACACCAUUUUUACAUUAUUGAAACAUAUACAUCUACCAUUUCACUCCAUAAAUCAUGGGAUUAGCUAAAAAGCUGUCGAGUAUUUUUUAGGAAAAACUUUCGAAUCUAACUACAUUAUAUAAUUUCAUUAGAACUAUACUAUAAUAAUAAUAACUUGUAUAUAUGUAUUAAAACAAUAUAUGCAACUUUAUAUCUUAUAUAGAGAUAACAAUUUAGUUAUAGUGUAGUUACACUAUACUUACAAUAUAAGUAUAUAACAAUAGUAUAACUACAAUGUAGUUAGCAUGUAACUAGAAUGUAACUUAGAUGUAACUUGAACAAAUCUGCCAUAAACAUGUGAUGAUGAGACUAGCUUGUGAAAAAGAGGGUUUAGAUCUGAUAGCAAAAUAUCUCAGCACAAAUCUUAGCGCGGAAUCAACGACCAAAAAAUUGACAGUUUUCAGGAUUGAAAACUAUCGACAGUUAGCUAGCAAAACCGUAAAUCAUAUAUACAUGCAUUAAUCCACAUAUCCCGCAACAAAACGCGGGGUAUCAACUAAUAAUUAUAAUAAUUCUAAGCUGAAACAAAUAGAGCAUCAGUCUUUGUCAACUAUUGUUUCGGUGAUCCUAAAACAAAAGUUGUAUGUGUUCCUUAAACGACGGUGUUCAGGGUUUUUUUUUGGCUUGAUGCGACCUAUCAUGGCACAAAUUAAAAUAUGAGGUGGUUUAUUUUAUAUCCGGAGAUCAUAAAAUGUUUGUCACGCUAGGUCAUUUAAGGGGUGUUUGGGAGAGAGGGGCUAAAUUUGAGAUCAGGGACUUUUGGUUUUGAGCAAGUUUAAUAGUAUAGCCAACUACUAGCUUUAAUUCAUUUAUAGUCAAUCUAAUAGCUUUUUUUUCGGGGAAUCUAAUAGCUUAUUCAUACAAUAGUUACAUACUACACUAAUAAUACCUGGCCCCACCUGUCAUACACACACUGCGUCUUGGAGUCCGUGCUAUAGCUGGCUAUAAAUCUGUAGCCCGCUGCUCUUCUCUCUGCUCAUUUAUCUGUUUAAAAUAUAUUUGCAGCUGGCUUAUAGCAUGCUAUUGUACCUGCUCUUACGGUCGCUUGGCUGGCAUGUUUUGAGGGGGAAAACCGUUACGAGGUUGGGCCGCGCGCGGCCGGCGUACCGGCGUCUGGAAGCCGCUGUGUGCUUUUACCGUACAACAAUCGCCGCGCAGCCACACAAGCACGCUUUUUAGCUAGUACACCGGCCCGUGCGAACGAAUCGCUCUGUAAACUCGCAUACACGAAAACAUGGACACAUUUUCCAGGUGCAGACAAGUUAGGCUGAGCCUUUUGGGCUAGAAAAAAAAAAAAGGACAUCCCGGCACAAACCGUGCCUUCUCAGCCGCUCACGACGCGGCCACGCCCAAGCGUUUUCACCCGAGCCGGACCAACCUGGCUCUGGCUGGUAUAAUACGCGGUUUCAGAUCCUGAUGAGGCAGCGACGACGGCGACGCAGGAGGUGCACACAGGCUCCUCGACUCGUGAGGCGAACUCUCCCUCGGCAUCGCUACGUGAAGGUAAUUAACACGCGCGCUGGGGCUCCCUCCCACGCGCAUCGCCCUCACCGUGCGCGCCGAUGAGCUAUGGCUACCGCGACGUACGUCCCGUCCUCGUGGACAAAGGCCGGGAUCGAGGAGUACACACCGAGCGGGACAGGGGAGUACACACCGAGCGGGACAGGGGAGGAGGUGCAGCAUCGUACGUGGAGAUCAUCGUCUGUGGUCCGACUCGGAGAUCGUCCAUGGCCAAAGCCACCGCCGGACGCCGUCGUUCGCGAACGUACGUCGUCGACGUGAGCAGCGUCGGGUUGCCGACGUUCGAGGGAGCUCCUCCGUGUGGUCUCGCGUGUUUGGGGGGGGUGGGUGCUCUUAAUUCGACUUCAAUAUAAUCGUAGACGGUGGUGUUGCGAGUGAAAUUCGAAUUUAAGGAUUGCACGUUUGCACCCUUCGAUUAGCUUGCCUCCAUUUUUACAGAUUUACAGGGUCAUUUUUAUCAGGAAAAUAUCCGGUUCUAUAAAGGUCAGUGUAUAGAUACAGUCAGAGAUUGGUCUCAUAAACUAAGACAUGUCGAUCGACAAGGGAGUAAAUAUACACAUUCAUUGAAUUUGGACUUUUGCCACGGCACAGAAACACUGAACAAAAUGUGCCUUUGUUCAAUACAAUCAAGAAAAGGAAUAAUAAAAAGGAAUGAAAAUCCUCUAUCCUAUUAAUCUAGCUAUAAUAAGGAACUAUACAGGUAUUUACGGGAACAUGUCAGAUUGCCUACGUAAGGUUUUUGCUAUGCCUCCAUCGAAAGUCGAAAUAGGCGAUUCAAGAAAAUACGAGGAUAAAGUUGAUCCCCAAACCACCACCAUCUGCAUGCCUUCAUGCAAAUACUGGGGAAACCAGCGAAACUAUGCUGCUAUUGCCACUACUGUGCCACUUACUAUGGUCAACACCAGCUUAUUGCAUCUCUAGCAACAAAUUGUAUUGUCUAACAAAACUUCUACAAGUUCACAUGAAGCUCAUCCAGAUAUACUAAGGUCUGUCAUGCUUCUGUCAGCAAUAUAUGCCUUUAUAUCCCUGAAAAGAUUUAAAAGGGAAAAAGAUAAUUAACAAGCCAAUUGGAAAAAAUAAAAUUGUGAAAAUUAUUUCACAACUCCGGAAGGCAGAUCAAUAUUGCGGGUGAUGCACACUUUACCUGCAUCUGGGAGCUGAACAGUCUGCAUUGUCACAAAGCAGUGAGUGCGUGAACAGCAGUUUCCACAUGAAUACACACAUAUGGCAACCUCCUCCACCACGGGCACGGGUAUGACAUCGUACACCAUGGAAGAACAGUUUCUUUAACGUCAAACAAAGUUUGGAAGUGCAACUUCGAUCAAAACAUCUUGAUGCAUGCACCAAGCCUUCAAGGUAGUCCUGCUUUGAAAGCAUCCAAUUCAUUAGCAAGAGGCACCGUAAAUAUCACUAGCAGAAAAUAAUAUUUGGGAUGAAACCACAUAAUUACCACAUUAGAAUCUAAAAGCUCAUAGAAUAUUUUUCAUCCUGAUUGAAAAUUUGGAUAUGCAGUCACAAAAUACUGGGACAAAACAUAACAUGAAGCAACACAUAAGAAUAGUGAAGCAUACACUUCACACAUAUGCUCAAGAUUAAACCAAAAGGAUAAAAUUAUGGAACAAAUAAUAAUAGUGCAACUCACUUAUAUUCUACAGUUUAUGCCAAAUAUAAUCAUGCGAAGAGCAAACAACCAAAAAAAAAUCAGAUCCCCAGAGUUGUUCCCAAAAAAUCAGAAGAUGUUAAUUUCGAGUGCAUAAUAAACAUUCAUGAAAAACACAAAUAGGAGAUGAAAAAGAUUCAGCUACCAAUUUAAGGAUACCUGUAGAGUGUACUUCUGCAAUACGUGAUGGUCUUUUUUCUGCCUCAACUUAUGAAUAUGCAAACUUUCACCGUCUUGUUUAUAGCAUGAAUCACAAAAGUUGCAGCCUAGGCAAACCAAGCACCGCCAUGCCAAGCAUUGAUCCAUGGCACGGUGACAAGAAGAACAAGUUGAAUCAUGUAGAUGAUAAAGAAUCAUCAUUGUGGAAUGUUUUGCCCUCCGGAGAGUAUCAAACUGGUAUUGAUUGUCUUGACAAUGCUUCAGGAAAUCUAUUCUGCUGUCAAAGUACUUGCUUUCCAUUGUUGGAUCUACAUCAUCCGUUUCUGGAAGAGGUUCUUCCUCUAUCUGUCAGAGGAGAUUAGUAAUCUGGUUAGUAUUUCCAUGCAGGCAGAUUGUAGCUACCUUAAAUAGAUGAAUUCAUAUACGUACUCUUUCAAAUGCAUGCUUUUGUUUUGUUGUAGCUGGGUGCCUGUCCUUCAGAGGGGUAUUCAGCUCCUCAGCAUAACAACUACGAGGACAAAUAAGAAUGGCAUCAUAAAUAAUGGGUGCCUUAACGACAAAGAGUAAUUGAAUAACAACAAAAGAGUAGGAAUGUAGAUUCAUUUUGCAAUUUGACAGGCAAACGGUCACUGUAUAAGCUAGAAUGGUUGAACUAUGCAAGUGCCAUGUGCAAUUAUAUAUUUUUACCAACAGCAGACAUUUCCCCUAGUGCUGUUCCAGAAAGUUCUUCAGUAUGGGAAAUGCAUUCUAUAUGGUCACAAAAGUUUACAUGACUGAAUGCUUACCGUUCACAAAGAAAGAAGUUUUUGCAGCUGGUGCAAACCCAACUACUACCAGAUACAAUAGGAUGGUGGCAAUGCUUGCAAAAUUGCUGCAGACAAAGCAUUAAAAAAUCUUCUUUCAUGGUUCGCAACCUUUCUCCAAGCUGCCAACAAUGAAAAUUAAGGGGUCAAGUGCCUAAAAUACUGAAGAAGGCCCGGCGAAAAAAAAUUCUGAAGAAAGGGAGCACCAUGAUUUAAACAACCAACCUUAUGCACAAGUAAAAUAUCCUCGAGGUUUCCUUUCCGGUCAUCACGUUUGGCAACCCGUAGAAGCCUUCCUAGUUGAGUUUCUUUCUUCUGUGAGGUGUCAUCAUCUUUCUUUUCAAGGAGCCUCUCUGCUUCCCCAGGCCAGAAAUCAUUAUCACAGUAUGGCAACCAUGCAGCUGAGAUAUUGGUCUUGCAUUCAUUGGUGGGCUGAAGGAAGAAGUCAUAGAGUGUAUUCCGUUCCACAACUACCCCCUCCUUAACAGCCUUCUUUACCAAAUUCUGGUACCUAAAUAUAUUGAAAAGAUUAUCAAAUGAAGGCCCAUAAAUAAUUUUAGGAUUGACUGUAAAAGAUGAUGAAGACCAACCAGCUCCGAAGCUUGUCAGACUUUGGCAUCUUCUGUAUUGUAGGAUGACAAUAUAAAACAUAAUCGUCACGCUUUGUAGAUGGGCAAGUCCAUAUGGAACAGCUUACAAACCCUCGUUUCUUGCAGAAAUCCAAGUAGCCAAUCUGGGGGAAAACAGAUUGGAAGAUAAUCAGACCAACAUGAGAUCCAUAAACUGAAAUCAAGAUCAAGAACACUAAGUGUUUAAUGAUUAUGCAUUCUCAUACCAAAAUUUCAUGAUACACAAAGGUACGGAGAGCUUCUCCACUGGCCGACUUGAUUUCCGGUCUGAAGUACUUGACAGAAUCAAUAUAUGCAAGAUAAACGUGCCUUUGAUUUGGUGAUGGGCAGGCUGAACCAUACUCUUGCACAUACAUGGCGAACAGGCAUACAUCUACACCUUCAUUCUUUUGAAACAAGAGAAUGGCCUGCACAAGCACAAAACACGGAAAUGGUAACCCACAUUAUCCACUAAAUAAUGAAAGCAUAAUUUAAAUGGAUGUUAUAAUAAUAGCAUUAGUAAAGUAUAAGUAUCACAUAAUCACCUUUGAUUUGUACGGAAAUUCCCCAGGAUAUUGUUCUUUUUUAAAAAAAUCCUUGAAACGUGGUUGGACUUGCAGUGUUCUAUCAGCUGAAGAUACCACUCUAACAGUAAGACCUUCAACUCCUGGUACCUAAUAAUUGGACCAUAAAAGUUCGCCCAAUAAGUUUCUCCAGUAUAUUACAGUGUAAUAAAAAUCCUAGAGGCAGAAAAAUAACAUUAAGAUCAGCAUAGAUGAUCAGAUAAGACUAAGCAAAGCAUCCACAAGUUUAUGUUCCAAGUUUGACCAUGAAUUGUAAUAUGACAUCUUGGUCAGCUAAAUCAGAUGAAUAUGCAGAACCAACUUUUAUCGGAAUCCAAUAAAAUGCAAGGAAAAAGAAGAAAAAAGUAGUUUCACUAAAAAGGAUACUGAAACGCAACAAAUAUAUGGUCAUCAACAUGUGUUCCAAAGAUGAAUUCAUGUGUAAUCAGCUGCAAUCCUGAAGCCAUAAAUACACAUUGCUAGAUGCACCAAGAGAAGUAUUAAGAACAUGAUUAAGUGAAAUGCCAUCAGUACAUUGUAAAAAAUAAAAAGAAACGUAUGACAGUAAAGAUGCAUUCAUGUAAUGAAUUAUCUAAGUCAACUUAGAAGACUAUAAUAUAAGGACUAACAUGUUACUUGUAACCUUCAAUCCAGCACAUAGAGCAAGAAGCACAAAAAUGCAAUUGGAAAGACGUAUGUAACUUUUGGCUGUGGUUCAAUAGGUUAACAGUGAGGUAGCCUGUUCAACGGUAGCAGAAUGCAACACCAGCAUAUUCUGUACACGGGACAAGGUAUAAAAGAAAAGCAUAACACAACUACCUCAUCAACACUUUUUCCAGAAGCAAUUGCCCUCUGUUGCCGCUCCUGCACAAGCCGCUCAGAAAGCCUUUGCUCAAUAUGAUCACUUAGUCUAGUUCUUGGUAACUCGCGUGCUCCCAGAAUAGUAGAUGGCUCAAGUGAAUCAACAUCUUCAUUAUCCUUUUCCUUCAAGAAACAUUUUGCACAAGUAUAUUCAGCCUCUGGAUCCACGAUUUUGGGGUUAAAAAGUGCGCAGAUUUGAUGCUGCCAAGCUUUGCACUUAUCGCACUGGACCCACUGAAAAGGCAUAAUUAAACAAAAAAUGAGUAAUUCGUAUAUGAUUCCAAAUGACUAGAGAGAAAUAAGAGAAGCAUAUGUUACCCAUUCUGCCUCAGCAUCUGUCUCUGCAUAGCUGAAUCUCUUCUGAUAUUUGGCUUUGGCACUACUAAGAUGGUGGCAUCUGCCACAUAUUGAAGAUUUGUCAUUUCCAUUUUCCACUUCAACAUAAUAGGAUCCUGUAGAAUUAAUUAUUUUAAAACAGAGCGCGCAAAAUCGUGGAGGGGGCUCAAAGAGGAGUCUUUCCAUCCCACAUAAAUUGCAUGUGUUCUGAUCAGGCAAGCCUUCAACUGAUAGCAGCUCUUCAGUCGGCACUUUGCUCUACAAAAAAUAAGUUAAUCAUGUUAAGAGAUAUAAACUUUGCUUAAAACAAGCACACACUCUGUACAAUAUAAUCAAGAAAGCUUGAGUGACAACAAAACCCAAAAUCUUAGUACCAAAUGAAAAUCAAUUGAAAGUACAUAAUAUUUAGUUAAUUUUGCAGCUGCUCAGUUUGAAAAUUUCUCUAGACUACAUCAACCAAUAAUAAUCAAGUGCUUUACAAUACUAGAUAAAUCAUACAAGAUCCAACAGGUUAUUCACUCACCUGAGAAGUAUCAUGGUUCAGAGUACACAAGUGAUCUUUAAGCUCCUCAGAAGUUAAUGCAUAAAGUACUGAGGCCCCUCUUCUCUUCCUUGCCCUCAGGCUGUCCCCUGACAAUGUUUGGUCCAAUAAAUCAACCUUUGCAUCCUUCAUCUCAAUGUCACUAUUUUCACGACGAAAUUCUUCUUCAGUUUGUACAGCACUCCCCGACAAUCUGACCAUAUCCAUUCCAUGUACAUUAUCGGUGCAAGCAAUGUUGUCCCCCAAGGAAGUACAACAUGGUGAUUUUGUUGGUGAAUUAGUGACUUCAGAUUGUACUGUUUCAGCAGAUGCAUAAGUCUCAUUGGCAGCAGGUUGUUGUUCCUUUGAAGCCUCCAUUUCAUUGACAUGGACAAGAUGGGGAACAUCAACUUUCAAGCGUUUUGCUGGAUAAUGCUUGCCAGAAGAUCCAUCUGAAGCAGGUGAAGUCGGCUUUGAUACAGUACUAUUUGAUGUCUGUUCAGCUCUAUCCACUGUCUUGCUUACAGGGCUACAAGCACCAUAAUUAGUCAUGAAGCCCUGCUGAUGAUGCAUAAAGUGGUUGCUUAAAUUUGAGCUUUUCUCCCUGGAGAAACCUUCAUGAUCAGAAGUAUGCCCAAGUUUUUCUUUCAUUUGAAUGCAUCGAUCCCGUUUGUGCUCUCCAUUGAUGUACGGAUGAAUUUGAGCAUGAUACAAGUCACGGUUUCCAGUGGUAAUGUUUGACUGAUCUGAUUGCUCUAGUGACCGACUCCACGUCUCUUGCUUCAUCUCACAUUCUAUGUAUUGUUGCAACAAAGGUCCCUGACCGGUUGUGGGAUACAAACUUUUAUUGUUUGUGGAAAGGUUUUGUCCGUUCACUGUUGAGAAAGAAUCCAUCGGAAGUGUUCUCAUUGCACUAGAACAUGUUGUUUGAUCCCACACUGCUGACAAAGAACUAGAACUCCCAGAGGUUGAUGGUUGUGAACUAUCAUUUUGAUACGCAUCACCUGGCAAAAUUUGACCAUAGUGUUUAUGAUGCCAAAUAACUUCAGCUCAACUCUGUUUCAGACAUAAGAAAGGGGAUGUAAACUCACCUGAGAAAUGUUCUUUUAUAUGGCCAAUAUGCAGUACAUCAAUACUAGGGCUACAUUUCGGUAGAGUUGAUGCACAUGAGGUAAAAAUGGUGUUUGCUAAUCUUUCAGGCAUCUGCUUGGGUUUAUCAGCCAACGAAUGAGCAAAGUUAGCAGCACCCAUACAGUUUUCAUAUUGGUUAUAUCCUGCCAAAAUCAAGCCAAUAAAGAAUUAAAAAAAUUAAGGUGUAUUGUGAGGUUAAAAUAGGUAACUCAUCAUCUCAACUCACCCUGAGUGGAGGAUACAUUAUAUGCACAGGAGGGCAGAUUAUUAGGUCCAGGAGUAACUCUAUCAUGGUAGAUGGGCACCUCCAUCACAGGCAGCUGUUGUGAGUUUAGUUUGGAUGAAGCUGCUGAAGCACUCCAAUGAAACAUACUACCCCGAAAUGAUGCAGAAUUGACGAUAGCAUUCAACCUGGUUCUUAAAGUUUCAAGAUCCAUAUACUUAAUCUGAGAGAGAAUCAGAUGUUAGCAAGUGACUGAGAACUAUUUAGAUAAAUGAAUCCAAAUAAUCAACUUCUAAGUACACCAAACUGUUCAGCAGUAACAAUUCUGUUUAAGGAUUACAAGAAUAUGCUGAAUUUUGUAUUUAUUCAAUAAAGCAUGUAGAUAAGUUCAAUAUUGUCCAAUAUUAGAGUAGAAACCACACCAAAUUAAAGCACCAUAGGUGAUCAUAUAUCCUAUAAUAGUUCUAAUGCAGCAAGAGACAACACAAACCUUUGAAUCAGCUUUCUCAAAAAGAUGUCGGUCAAUACAUUUUCCAAUUUCCAUAAGAAAGGAUAGGUCAAAGUUGCAGAAUUCCUUCCGCUCAUUUAGGUACUCUACACUGGAUAAGAAAAAAGAAUCAGGAUAUAGUUGAACAAGAGAUAAUAACUGCAAUAAGUUAUCGGUUUGCUACAACUUAAGUUGCAACAAGCCACCAAAAGCACGUGAUGUUAUCAGACAGACUGGUCACUAGCAGUCACAGAUUUUAGAUAAAAUCGUGCCAGUAGCAUUGCAGUUUUUGAAAUGUUCAACUAAAGUUGCAGAAAACAUAUGUACAGUGUAUACUUUGUUGGUACGGCAUGCUAGUAUAAAGCAACUAGUAAUCUGCGAGUCAAAGCUAAUCCCAAUAUUGGUGGUUUAAGAACUUACAUUUUACGGUGAAUAAUAUUGCGAACUACGGAUGUAUCUUGAUCCAUAUUAUCCAACUGAAGAAUUUCAGCUGCAGAUUGUGUCCAGCCACUUGUGGGGUAUUGCUGGGUAGGAAAUCCACUUGCUGCAUAUUGCUGUUGAGUCCCUUGCAGGGUCUUUGCCAUCAUGCUUCUAUCUCGCCUGGAAUUCGCAGAAUAAACCCAUUACGAGCUUGAUCAGUAGCUUACAUGCAGCCAACACAUAACCAGCAGGUAGAUGGCAACAGAGCAGAAAUAGGAUAGUAGCAAGUAUAAUACGAUUCUACUGUGACUCAUACAAACAAUGUCAGUUCUGGAAGAGAAACACAUCGCAUCUCCUAAACUACAGUCAAUAUCACUACCAAUGCGCCUACCAAGAAGCAAUAUACUAGGUAAAAUGGUGAUAACGAGUAGAUGGCGCAUAUUGCUACUACACAAUAGCGCGUGAAAACCACUAUCCCGAGCACAGGAUCACCCUUCGAAUUCUCUACACAUUGCAAUACUCAAUCAGCGUCCAAUGCUACACAGGGGUGGACCUCAUGUUGGACAUGGGUGUUCAAGUGAAUCCCCAAUUUACUAUUAUUAUAUAUAUUUAUUGGAAACAAACCAGGGGCGGAUCCAACUUGGGACAUGGGGGUUCAGUUGAACCCUCACAAACUUCUUUUGGGGAACAAACAAACUGUUAUUUUAAAGUUUAGGCCCUGAAAUUAAUAGAGGAGCUUCUUCCAGAUCUAGAAUUGAAGCUAGGGUUAACUCCCCCACAAAAAAAAAAAAAGCUAGGGUUAGCGCAAGCAAAUUCGAGACAAAAUUAGGUCGGGGAGGAUGUGGAUGCUCACCAGGAUGCAGCAGGACGACGGCGCCCCUCCCUCCCCGGCCUCUGCUCGCCAGAUGGAGAUGGGCGCCCCAACCCUAACCCUUGCUGUGCUCGCGAGAUGGGGGAUCGGCGAGGACGAAAGGGGCGGAGGCCGAGACGAGACGAGACGGGGGGAUUUUCUUUGACGCGGAAAGGACGGCGGAGAUACUCGAGUGCUCGAGGCACAAUGAUUUUUGGACGCUAAGGUUUUUUUCUUUUCUUUCCUAUAUGUAAAUUGAUCCGGUUACGUCCUGGCCCAGCCACGUUUGGGCUCGGAACAACUAACGGGCCGUGCCGUGCCGGCCCACUUGUCGAGGGGUUGGCCCUGCUGGUCAGUGGAUGGGCCAGAAUUUGGCGCCGAAUACGGCUCGGCCGGCCUGUCUGCCUAUGAUGAAUCUCACAUUGGGCCAAUACGGCCCAAUUUCUAAAUUUAUUUCACUCGCGGAGCCCAUUCACCCGAAAGCGAUUUUGCUAACGAUCACUCGCGUGAUUUUUUUCUGACAUUUCACGUUUUUUUCAGGCUCGUCAGCCGGCGCGUCGGACACCAGCACAUCGGCCACCGUGUCGGAGAAGCACGAUGACACAGUGGCCUCUGACCGGCGAGCCAGCCGCCGGUAGCACGGCCAAUACUGAUCGACGAGAGACACCGUCUCUCUUGUCGUUGUCGUGAAAUAUAAAAUUACAAUCCUAUAUAACUAAAUUUACAUUUGUAAAUUCAGUUGAUUUGACAUGUAAGUGCACUGUAAUUUUGAUAAAAAAUAAUGUUUAAGUAAAUAUGUACAUAUUAUUUUCUUUAAAAUAUAAAAUUACAGUCAUAUAUAACUAAAAUUACAUUUGUAAAUUUAGUUGAUUUGAUAUGUAAGUGCACUGUAAUUUUGAUAAAAAUAAUGUGUAAGUAAAUAUGUACUUAUUAUUUUCUUUAAAAUAUAAAAUUACAGUCUUAUAUAACUAAAAUUACAUAUGUAAAUUUAGUUGAUAUAACAUGUAAGUGCACUAUAAUUUUGAUAAAAAUAUUGUGUAAGUAAAUUUGCAUUAGUUAUUUUAUUUCAAAUAUAAAAUUACAGUCUUAUAUAACUAAAAUUACAUAUGUAAAUUUAGUUGAUAUGACAUGUAAGUGCACUGUAAUUUUGAUAAAAAUAUUGUGUAAGUAAAUUUGCAUUAGUUAUUUUAUUUCAAAUAUAAAAUUACAGUCCUAUAUAACUAAAAUUACAUAUGUAAAUUUAGUUGAUAUAACAUGUAAGUGCACUGUAAUUUUGAUAAAAAUGUUGUGUAAGUAAAUUUGUAUUAAUUAUUUUAUUUUGUAGUCCGUUGGAUGCAAAUCCAAGGAAAGAAAAAAUCUCAAAAAUCACCCGAGUGAUGCAUAGGCGGCCCCCUCGAAAGAGGGGAAAAGAAAAACAUCGAACCGACAAGGAAUAAGUCCAUUUUGCCUCCCUCAAUUCUUCCCCUUUGUCGAAUUAUAUCCCUCAACCACAAAACCGGGUAUAUUACCUCCUCCAAGUGUUAAAACCAGUACAAAACAACUCCCUUGGUGGUUUUUGACAGUGGUUUUGCUGGCGUGGCAUCCUAGUCAUCGAAAAAAACUUAAAAAUAUGUGAGGGCCCACAUGUAAGUGGCAUUUCUAUUCUUCCUCUCCUCCACCACUCUCCUCUCUCCUCCCCCUUCUCUCUCCCCAAACAGAGCACGGCCAGGAGAGGGGCCGGAGGCGCGGGAGGUGUGGGGACCGCCGGAGGAUGCGGGCGCACGCCGCAAGGGAGAGGAUCACCGGCCGCGGCGCCCACGCGGGGAGGGUUCACCUGCCACGGCGUCGAUCUGCUCGGCCGGCAACACAUCCUCCUGCUGUCUAUCCGCGCCGCCAACCUCCAGCAAAAUACAUAAGCUCAUCAGGCUACCUUUCGAAGAGCAUGUCAUGUGCUGACUGUGGAGUGCAAAAGAUUAAGCUUUCACCUAAACACUUGGAGGGGGAUAAACUGGCGACCAUCCAUGGAGCAGCAGGAGUAACAACUGAAGAUGAUCAUGAUCCAUCCCAACAAGUCGCCGGAGCAAGUGGUAGCCUCUUUCGAGCUUCGACACCUCACGAGGAACAAAUCAGACAUAAAAAACCUCAUGAAGAACAACCCAACAGUAACAAAAGCAUCCCCCCUCCAUUAGCUGCAUGUCCUUCCUGGAAUUCUAUUUUUCUUCUCCAAAGAGACAACGUGAGAUGCAUGGAUGAACAAUUGGCUAUGCGCCUACUACUGCCCGGACUCCUCAUCGGACUCGCCGUCGUAGCGCUCAUCCUCCCCGUCCUCCUGCUGCUGCUGAUGGUGUUGGUGAUGGUGGUGCGGGUGCGGCAGUUGACCGGCGGCAUCGGCGCUGCCGACCUGGUGGUAGAACUGGCUGAGCGACUGUGCGGCGAGCACGCUGAUGUGGCCGUCCUGUGAGAGUCCUAGCUCUAGCCCCGGCAUGGUGCGACGGAUGUCAGCGCCGACACCGGUAUGGUCCCCGUCCCCGUGGCGGCGACGAUUGCCGGCUCCGCCUGCUGGAGCAGCCACUGGACGGUCUCACCGUCGGACUUGUGGCCGAGCUCCCACGUCAGCUGGAAGAUCCAGGCGACGCACAGCACCGGCAUCCGGAUCCGCCGUCCCCGGGCGUCCACCUUGGUGUGCCGGGUCCUUGUUCGAGCUCCGCUUCGGUCCUAGCUCCUGCAUCCUCCUCUCCCCCGCUGCAACCGCUACCACCUGCAUCUACUGCUGCUGACAGCGGAUCCUCUCCCUCGCGGCGUGCGCCCGCCGCAUCCUCCGGCAGUCCCCACACCUCACGCGCCUCCGGCGCCUCCCCUGGCCGUGCUCUGUUCGGGGAGAGAGAAGGGGGAGGAGAGAGGAGAGUGGUGGAGGAGAGGAAGAAUAGAAAUGCCACUUACAUGUGGGUCCUCAAGUAUUUUUUAAUUUUUUUAUGACUAGGAAGCCACGUCAGUAAAACCACUGUCAAAAACCACCAAGGGAGUUGUUUUUGUACUGGUUUUAACACUUGGGGGAGGUAAUAUACCCGGUUUUGCGGUUGAGGGAUGUAAUUCGAUAAAGGGCAAGAAUUGAGGGAGGCAAAUGGACUUAUUCCAACCGACAACGAAACGAAACGGUCCUUAAUUACUCCUAUAUAUAUAAGGCAACCUAUUAUUGCCUCUUCUUUUGAUCUUUUCACGUAGACGUAGUAACGAUUUGAUCGAGGAGGAGCCAUAAUGGAUACGAAACAGCCGAGAAUCGACGCAAUAGGGCUGCGGUUCAAGACCGUGGUUCACAUCACGCUGGUGGCGUCGAUGGCGUACGCGGCCUUCGGCGCCGCGGUCGCCUACCCGGCCUCCGGCGCUCCGGCGGCUCUGGCGCUCGCGUUCGUCCUCGGCUACGGCGCGCUCCUCUUCCGUCUCCCGUUCUCCGUCUACGCGCUCGAGUUCCUGCGGCAGGAGUUCCCGAUCGCGCGGACGCCGCUGUCCGUCCAGGCGUGCGUCGCGGUCACCCCCGUCGCGCUCUCCGUCGCCGUCCUGGCGGUGCUCAACCAAGCGAGGGCCGGCGGCGGCGGCGACGUCGCCCUCGCCACCUGCGUCGUCUGGGCCGCCGACGUAGCCGCCGUCCUGUCCCUCGCGUGGUGCCUCACGCACGGCGGCGCCCUCGCCAUGGCUCUCACCAGGAGGAAACAGUACGAGGAGAGCGGGAAGGCACUGGAGCGGAUGAUGAAAGGGUACAAUCCCAAAGACCCCGCCGCGGUCCUCUUCGCCCUCGACCUGGGCGAGAUCCGCGAUGCGUCCGUCCGCCUCGCGGCGGCUGUGUCGGCCGCGUGCGCGGUCGCUGGCGGCGUGGCGGUCGGCGGCGGCGGCGGCGGCAUGUCAUACACAGGUCUCUCCUAUGCCGCCGCAUUCUUCGCGCUCCCAAUGCUGUGCCUCUCGUACUUCCAGAAGACGUGCGCCUACCCGGUGGACAUGCCCAAGCACCUCGCCGCCUACGACCGGCCCCACCUGAAGGUGAUCCGCUAUGCCUGCGUUCGCUUCGUGGCCGCCGUGUCAGCCGCAAGCGCGAUAGCCGGCGGCUUGGUCGUCGGCGGCGUGUCUUGGAUAGGCCUCUCCUACGCCGCCGUCUUCUUCGCGCUCCCCAUGUGCCUCCUCUACUUCAGGGAGAAGUACGGUUUCUCCAUGUCCGAUAUGCCCAGCCUGCUCAAGUGGUGCAACGUGUCGGUGCCUAUGGCGGCGCUAGCGCUGCUGUUCCGCCUCGUGACGGCGGCGCGGCAGGCAGCCGCACCGGACGUUAGGCUCGUCGCCAUUGCCGGCACCGUGUGGGCCGUAGACGCCGCUGCGAUUGGGUUUCUCGGCUGGCGCAGCACGAGGGAGAUGGCCAAGCCCAUACUACGGGCGAACGCGUCGGAGAUUUUCACGUCGUUCGUGAUGGUUUGCCUACGAUACUGGCUGUAUCUGCACGUUUUCUAUAUCCUUGGCAACGGUUCACAGAGAUGGUUCAAUUCAUUAUAGCCGUUCUAGUUGAGAAUUAUCAAUGUUAUGCUCAAAAGUACACUUUAACAUUAAUAUAAUAUAAUGUAUUUGUCUUUUUUUCUAAGUAUGCAACAUUGUUUUGUUUUAGUCACUAUAAAAAUGAUUUUUGCGGACGCACACCCUAUUUUGUUACAUGCGGGCUAAAAGAACAUCUACAUGUAAAAAUAUUUUGGAUGUUGUUUGGUUCAGACACGUAUAGAAAAAUCGUUUUUCGUAAACAGGCCUCUCAAAGCAAUGCAAAAAUAUUGACGAACCCGGCAUAAAAAUUUAUCUAUAGUGGACUAUGAUUCUUAAUGUGUUAGAUUGCCCCUAUGUCAAUGGAUAUCUAACCCUACUUAAAAAAUUGUAAUUUUCUAUUCGUCAUACUCCGUUUCAUCCAUCAUCCAAGUCCGACUGCCUUUGGCCUCAUGAUCAUGAUUUCUCCCUAUGCCUCUAUCGCUCCUCCUCACCUUCCCUAACCUUCGCCGCCGCAACGCCAUGGCCUGGCGACCUCCACUUCGCACCACUUCUCCUCUCCCAAUCCUAACCCAUAUGUCUUCUUUGUCUCUAGCCUCACCUUCUCGCGCGCACGGCACCGAUAAGCAGGCACGGGUGUGUGGACAGCCCCCUCUUCCUCCCAAGUCACAACCCAGCCCUAGCCUUCUCCCUUGUGUGCCAUGUGCCUUCUCAUGUGCAUGCCCGACGACCUGGUUUGGAGCUAGGGGCAACGCAGCCAGCAUCUGGCCUCCUCCAAUUGACCAUAUGAAAUCGAAUUCAAGGUGAGCAUGAAGCUCCAACUGCUGUAUGCGCGGGAGGAGGUGAAGAGACCGUCGAUGCCCACCACGCUCCUUUGUUUUCUUGCGUGCCAUUUGUGAUAAGUAACAGUAACCUAGGGUCCUGGAGUCUCCCUUCGACAACAUAUUCAAUUCUACGGAGAAUCUUUCUGCUUUAAAUUUAUAUUCCAGAUCAUGAAAUGAAAUAAAUAAGUUCCGGAACAUUGAUCCAACAAUAAACUUAGCUAUACAAAGAAAAUAAUUUGUAACCCACCAAGUGAACAAUUAUGAAGCUCUUGGAUUAAAACAAAACAAUGUUGCAUACUAUAAAAAAAUAGAUAUUAAUGUACAUUUUGAGCAAAGUUACCAUUUACAGAAGUUGAUGUGAAUAUUACUCAACUAAAAUGGCUAUAGUGACGGCGCAUGGAGCGGCCGCUGGGCGAUGCCACGUCGGAUAGGAACAGUGCGCGGAGUGAAAAUUUUUCGAAAAAACCCUCUGAUUUAUGCGUAAUUAGAUCUAGGUUCCCCACAAACAGUUCUCCUGAAAUGUUAUUUUACAUAGGGGUCCUUCUAAAAACCAGAUAUGCUGUGCGAAGGACUUAAAAAAUCGUGAAGCCGGAUAUAUAUAAGGAAGAAGAUUAUUAAAAUUAAGCAAUAAAUAAUAAAAAAUCAUUAUAAAAAUGACCAUCGUCUUCAAAAUUUUCACAACCACAUGUAACGAAGAGUUUGAUCACGCGUCUCUCGUCAUGUUGUCCACCUAAAAACCAUACACAGCCACUUGUGCUACUAGCCUUGUAUAAGGCUAUAAGCAUAUCACCGGUCACUGACACGUGGCCCCAUAAACCGCCACCCUGCCCCCGCGACUACUGGCGCGCGCCUUCUGGACUCUUCCUGACCCUUUUUUGGCGGGCGACGCACGGUGCCCUUGACGUCCACGUCGACCGCGACCACCAACCUCUGACCCCGUCGCCCUCCACGUCGCCGCCUCCUUCUCCCCCGCCGACGUGGCCGCCGCCUCCGCCACCACCACCGCUCCCCACCUCCCCGUGACCUUCUCGAUCUCCCCGCCUAUUUAUGCUCGUCUCGUCACCCGCAGCAGCAGUAGCAGCAGAAGAACUGAAGAAGAGUGAUCUAGCUAGCUCGCUCGCCUGAGUUCUUUGCUUCAAUUCGAUCCUCGCUAAGCUUCCUCCAGCUCGAUCGAUCUCUCUCUGCGUUUUAGUUGGUUAAUUUUUGUGUUUGAGUUAUUUGCAAUGGCGGCCGCUACCAUGGCGCUGAGCAGCUCCUUCGCCGUCGCCGCCGCUGCUGCUGGUGGCGCGCCAUGGCGUGGUGUCGUCUCCGCUGGCCGCGCCGCGCCUCGCCGGCGUGUCGCGCUCGUCGUCAGGGCCCAGUCCGAGGUGAGCUGAGCAUGCCACGCUUGAUUGACUUGAUCACUGUGUGUUCUGGUGAUUGCUUCUUAAUUUGCUAACUUGGGAUUGAUCGUUCUGCAGCCGGAGGUGGAGCCGACGAAGGAGGAGACGGCCACGUCGUCGUCGUCCCCGUCUCCGGCGACGACCCCGACUCCGAGCCCCGCGGCGGCGGCGCCCAAGGCGAAGCCGGCGGCGAGCACGAAGCUGUGGGACGUGCUGGCGUUCAGCGGGCCGGCGCCGGAGCGGAUCAACGGGCGGCUGGCGAUGGUGGGGUUCGUGUCGGCGCUGGCCGUGGAGGCGUCGCGCGGCGGCGGGCUCCUGGACCAGGCCGGCAGCUGGAGCGGGCUGGCGUGGUUCGCCGCCACCGCCGCCGUGCUCUCCGCGGCGUCGCUGGUGCCGCUGCUCCGCGGCGAGACCGCGGAGGCGAGGAGCGGCGGCGUGAUGAGCGCCGACGCCGAGCUCUGGAACGGGCGGUUCGCCAUGCUCGGCCUCGUCGCGCUCGCCUUCACCGAGUUCCUCACCGGCUCGCCGCUCGUCAACGUCUAAUUUAAUUAAUUAAUUAAUUAAGCUGUACGUACAAUACGUGCAUGUACGUAUGCGUGUACUGGGUAGAUAGCUAGGGAUGUGUAUGUAUGCACUGUAGCCAAUAGCAAGCUUGAUAGUGCUUGGUGUACUACCUUGGAAUUUGAAAAAGGAAUUCAAAUUUUGAAACUCGCAAAAUAUUCGUGGGAAAUUUGGAUGUUUGAUACAGAUCCAUCUCGCAUAGGGGAACCAAAUGUAGUGGCAACCAUAUUUUUGGACACUACGAUUUGAACUCUGAUGUGAACAGUACUGGUGGAUAGAGUAACGUAGUACAAACUAACAGCUACGAUAAACAAAUUUCAAUUGACACUGUUUUAGGCAUCGUUGUCUUCGCUCUCUUCUAGAGCACAAUUCGUUCCUAGAGCAACCAAAAUAUUUCCAUGGCAUUUUUUAAAAGAAUAUUCAAACCUUCAAUGGCUCUAUGAAAUUAAUUUAUAUCUAAAUGCUAUACAUUUCAUGAAAAAAAAUGGAAAUAAAGAAGGUAGAUUGUAAUUAGUCAGUUAUAAGAUGUUACGCUGAGAUGGAUGCCAUAUAAUUCUACACAUGUUUAAAUGCUGAUUGAAGUUAUCCAUAACUAAGUGUAAUGCAGCAAAAGCCCUCUGAUUAAUUAGUCGAAUUAUAAGAGGGCUUAUUCAUACUCCCCCCAACCAAAAGUUUAUAGCAUAUUUCUUUUAUCACAAAGACCAAGUAGAAACUAACUUAUUUCACAUAUAACAAAGAAAAAAUAAUAUGCAUUCAUGAUUCAUGCAACUAGUAUUACAAUGUUUGCUUGAAUUUUAGUUAACAAUUUAAUUUAGCAUUGUAAAAAGUACAAGUCCUUCAUUUAAGUCUUUGAUGCAUAUGGAGACGCAUAUCUCAUUUGGAGAAAAAAAACAGAAAAUAAAUAAGCUUUAAAACUUUUGGACGAAUGGAGUAAUGAAAAAACUUUUACAGGAUUUUUAUGGACACUUAAUUGAAAAACAUUAAAAUAUCCCAUAACAUUCCUUCGUUAAUCGUUAUAAAGAGAUCCCAGUUUUACACCCGUAGCUAGGUUAUCAUAAUCAAUUAAGCUAGCAUGCACGGCACAAAUUAAGCUCUAGAACAGCGCUAAAGAAAAUGAUGGAACAAAACGCCAAUAAAACGGUCACUAACAUUGUUUUGCCGUCUCCUCUCGAGUUGUCGUUCUUGCAUGCGGAAAUUGCUGCCACUUUGUUGGCCAAAUGGAGAUGGAGGCUGCUAACUAGCCACGCCGGGUGGUGCAUGAUCAGUGAUAUGACCUCUUCGCGGUGGCCUCGAUGUCCACGUUGAGCAACCAAUGAACAUGGACCCCAAUCACCCCAGCUAGGCUCCAUGGGCAAUUUUGGUUUGAAGCUUGUCAUAAUUUUGUCUUUUUUUUAAAGACAAUGGAUAUAUAGAAAUGCGAUCUUGAAACUCAUUUUGGUUUAAAGCAUGCCAUAAUUUUGGUUGUUUCACGAAGCGGGUGCAGCUUAAUGGGUUAGUUCUUUUUUUUAAAAAAAAAAAAGAAGUCUAUCCACUCGAGUUUAAUUUAAUUUUCUAAACUUAGCACAUGUACUUGUAAUUUAGUGAUAGACGCUAACUAUGGUGUAUGUGUUUAUAUGGUCACGUGUGUUUGUACAAUAUUUUUUAAAAGAAAAAAUAGUUGUGUCAAAUCUUAAGCCAACUUUAGAUAGAUUUGCCCCAGCUAAUAUUGAUUCCAAUCGAAAUGACUACAGUCUAUAAAGGGUAAGAAUUGGCAACAAACCAAAAUAGCCCGAUGCGGCGUGACUGACGACCCAGCCUCACUCCACGUAGGUAGACGUACAACACGUACGAUUGUUGAUUGUUCAUUUGCUGUAUCAACGAUAGCUCAGUAAAAUCGUAUUACCUGUAAGGUACAAAGAAAUAAAAAUGACUAAAAUGUCCAUCACUUUAACAAAUCCUAAUGCAAUUGUCUCUCAUUUUAACAAACCCUAAUACAAAUCUCAAUGCAAUCGUCUAUUAUUUUAACAUACCCCAAUAUAUGUCCUCUACUUUUAUAAACUUUUAAUGCAAUUAUGGCUUAAAAGAUAAAAUUAUUUAGAGACAAAUAAAAUUAUGAAUAAAUAAAGUUAUUUUGAGACGAAAGGAAUUAUGCGUGAAAUGGGAAAGCAGGCAGGCAAAACUCCUACCAUCCUCUUCACAACGAAUUUAUCUAGUUCUCACAACACAAAUGGAUCAGGACAAGUUACAUCAGGAACCAGCUUAACCAUGCCGGUCGCUACUACUAGUAACUAGUGUUACACAGAGGUACAAAUGGCAGGCAAAAUCAUCACCCGAGCUUGCUCCUCAACUGCUCCGGCAGUGAGGCUCCGAACACCUGGGCGAGGGCCAUCUUCUGCCUCUUAUUCAGCCUGCACAGCUCCAGUCCCCCGCAGGACUUGCCAGUCAGCAGCUUGCGCCCAUCGUCUACAGCUUUCCUUCUCAGGGAGCACAGCUGUGCAGAUGGUUCGGUUGUGAUCGCACUAUCGGCAUCGGCUUCGGCUUCAGCUUCAUCUGCUCCCCAGUCCAACUCAUCGUCGGUCAUACCCUUCGAAGCCUCAUUUGCUGAUUCAGGGGCUUCACCGUUAUCGUCUUUCGCAGGUGUGGUCUCCGUGUGGCUGUCAGUCCCCCACCAUUUCAUAGUUUGCAAAGACAAGCCAGAUGAUGGAAAUCCGUACUUGAAGUCGUCCAUGUAGGUUGGGAUGCCUUUGGUUUGGGUACCAUAGGACAAGAUUGCUGAUCCACCCAACACAUUUUGUUUUCCUGGGGGUGAGACUUGUCCUGCCUUCGAACUUCCCUGUUGAGAUUUUGCCACUCCUUGGAAAGCGCCUGGUGAUCUAUCAAUAUGUCCAGAUUUAAGUGUCAGAACAAAUGCUGCAAACCGCUUCAAUAGUGACAAUAGAUCAUCAUAUGGUGCUUGAUGCAGAGAACUGAGAAACCAAAUUAGACUACAAUAGUGGUAACUGGUAACAACAGAGGGAAAGUUGAUAGCAUCCAAGUGUGAAAACAUAGAAACACGCAGCCUCGGGUCAGAGAGUCCCACAGAGGGAUGGUCUAAACUGUUGUUGUGGUCAGGUUUACCUGGUACCAACCCAAUGUCCCACUCUACUGCCCCAGCAUCCAUACUCAGACAGCGGAUGGUCAGUAGAAUCCUGAGCAAUGAACCACUACAAAAACACACUGUAUGCAAGUAUUGCGCAAAUAUUUUUUUUCCAGCUGAAAUUCAUAAGCACAAUUAUCCAUGUCCACAGCUCAAAGUAGCCAUAAAAGGAAUAAUAGAACACCUAAGGGUCAUGAGACCAACAACCGAGUUUGAGCAGUUAAAUCAGACAAGCCAAAAGCUAGUAGCAGUAAAAGUUUACUAAGCAGAAGCUACAAGUACAAUUAAAAUUGUCAUGUGCUUUUAGAUUUAUAAUACAGAUUAGCGACAAGAAGGCAAGAAUGAGCAUAUCAUUAACUUCUUCUAUUGCACUACAUAGCUUAAGUUAAUGGUGAUAUUGUCUGCAGUAAAACGUGCAUAGACUCUCAAGUUAUACAGGAUCCAGAGCAGAAAUCUUAGUAGCAGAUAAAAAAAACUGGGACAAAUUCUUCUUAAAAUUAAUAAGUAAAUUUAUGAAAAAACAGAUUGUCCUGUAAAUUAGUUCCAUCCCUUAUGAUAUAUGUAUUACUUGGCCACAUAUAUGUUCAUCACUGUUGUUUACAACAUAGUGCAUUCAGCAUAACUUGAAUCUGCUGGCAGUACAAGCUACAAUCAGUCGCAAUAGGAAUUACCAUAGGACACUGCCAUAAAACAGCCAAUAUUACAACUGGGAUGGAGUUGGACUGUAACAGAAUAUCCAGAUCUACCAUAGAUGAUAAUUAUCAGUCCAGAUAGAUAAGAGAACAAGGAAAUGCUGGAAUUUCAAGUACUACUUUCUUCACAUCUUGUACUAGUUAAGCGUGAUAUUACACUGAAAUAUUCAUGCGAGUAGAAAAAGCUUUGAAUUAUUCCAUCAACUACCUCAGUAUACUCUGUUGAUUAUCAAGAAAAUAGCACUAGCAAGCAGUUGUCGUGGCUAACAUUCAGUGAGAACCAAGCAUGUCCAGUUAACAUUUGCAGAAGAGAGAAGACAUAUUUAUUAUUGCACAGGAAACAGGAAUAAAAUAUGGGCAUCAACACAAUCAAGUUAAAACGCACUACUCACACUGUUGAUAGACCAGAUGCGCUUAGAGCCUUCUGUUUUGCAACUUUAGAUAUCUCAAGAAGUCCCUUGGCUUUCUCUCUUUCAGCGUUUUUUGUGUCAUCACCAGACUUCCCAGAUACAAGCUGCAAGCAUGAAUAUUUAAGAAAAAUAAUAUAAAUAAUUGGAUUGCAAAGAAGAAACUAAGAACAAAGCUGGGAAAACAUAAUCAAUAUGCGGAAGAGAAGACAACAUGGGGUAGAAAUAGCUUUCAGACUGUAGUUGUUCUAUGUUUGCAUGCAGAAUAGAGUAAAUACCAUCUUCAAUAACAGUUUGAACCAACUCACUAUGGGCAUUCGAAUAGCCAUUGAACAAGCUUUAACCAAUUAUGCAGCUAGACAGCAUAUUUCAGUUAUCGAAUAUUUACCGGAAGGAGUAUUUUAUUAGGGAAAUUUAACUAUUCGCCACUCAACAGUGAUGGCUUCAACGAUUUGCCAUUUUACAGAUGCCAAUUAAUUAUUUGCCACUAAACAGACGUGCACUCUUAAUAAAAUGCCAUGUUACCUAUUUUGUUUACUAUUUCCCACCUAAACACAAGGAUUCGCCUAUUCUCCUUCCUGUUUUACCCUUCAUCCUACCAUGUCCUCAGUCUGUUUUCUCCAUGGCAAAGGCUGCCACCUCCAGUUCUCAAUCAAGGCACGCACCAAGUGCAUCCCAAAAGCCACAGGUGCUGUGAUUGAAGCUUCUGAUGAUGGCCUUUUGUUUCUUAGCAGCAGUUCUGUUAGCAGCUGAUUGUGGAAUAAAAUAAUUCAUCCAUCUUAGUAACUAGUCAAUACCAAGGAAUUAGACUUAUAUUUCUUCGAUGUAGAUUAUACUUGAUAUAUUCGGCCUGUGUCAGGAAGAGCUCUGAAUUAAUGGAUGAUUGCCAUGGCGGAGCAAGGGGUGGUCGCUAUCUGUUCUGGUUAGAGGCAGCCAGCAUGGGAGGACAAGGGAGGUGGAGUUUUACUGAGAGCGCACAUCAAAUUUAGUGGAAAGCAAUGAAUUACCACCUACAUAAUAGGGCUUCUAGGGCAUAGAAUCUAGCGCCUCUUUUCUUCCUUCGAAGCAAACUUCAAUCUUUCAUGAACAUCUUCAAGUAGCCAACAUCUGACAUAAUUCAUUCGUCUCCUUGCUUACUUUUUGGGAUACGCUUAAUUCAACUAUUAAGAUAAGCCUCUGAUGAGUACGAUAUCAGUUCCUAAAGCAGUCUACCUUGUAAAUUGUUAAAGCCACCAACUGCUGCAAAAUAUAUAAGCAAAGAGAGCACCAUGUUUACAUAUAGGAUACAACCACUGCAUACUUCUCUUUGCUCAAAUAGCCCUAAAUUAGAACAAGCAUGCAAGUUCUCAUCGGCAAAUAGCUUUCUUUCUUCCUUCUCGCACCAGUGAUUUCCUCGUCAGUUAGACAUUCAACACAAUCACUCAAAAACACAGGAAUCAGCUCAUGAAACUAAUCUGCUGAAUUCCUCGUCAGUUCUGACAUUCAAGUUCAACACAAUCACUCGAGAACACAGGAAUCGGCUCAUGAAACAGGGCAAAACAUACCUUUCGAUACGGCCACCUGACGAUGCCGUGGCUGCGGCAAAUCCUCUUCAAAACGCUGGUGCAAACACCUGCAAAUCCCCCCCCCACCCAAAAGUUCGUUCAGCUGCUGCGCGGCCCUCAAAUCGAGCCAGGCGACGGAUCUCGCCCACAUCUGGAGAAGGACAGAGAGAGAGAGCGAGGGCGGGCGGGAUUACCGAGGAUGGAGGCUGCCUCUGCGAUUGGUAGCGAGAAGAGCUUGGAGAUCUCCUCGUACGACAACGAUACCCUCGUCGGCUUCUGCGGCUGCGCCUCGGAAGCCGGAGGAGCCGGAGUCGGCACCGCCGCCGCCGCCACCGGCUGCUGCUCCUGCUGCUGCUGCGGCUGCUGCUGCGGCUGGGCAGUGGAAGCCAUGGGAGCCGCGCACAUAACAGCGCGGGUGGCGUGGGAAUCGACUUCGCGCGGGAUAGAUCGGGGCGCGCGCGAACCGAACCGAAUCAAAUCGAAGCUGACGCGAAGCGGUAAGAGGCGGCGCGGGGUUUGGGAUGGGGAUGGAGUGGGAGAGUGGAAGAGGGCGGGGCGCAGCGCAGCGGUGGCGGCCGGAUGCGUGGGUGGGUGGGACGGAUCGGAUCGGCGUGCCGGCUGGCUGGCUGGGUCGAUUUCGAUUUGGGGAUUUCGCCUUCGGUUGGUGCGCGUGUGUGGUGGAUUGGAUUGGAUUCUUCUUUUUUCUUGGGUUGGAUUGGAUUCUCUGCUGCACUGGAGGGUUUGGUUACACAGACAGGUGGGCCCCCUUUAAUCUGGGAAUAAUUUACAGCAUUUUGGGCCCGGCCCGGAUUGGUAGAAGUCCUCUGCAAAAUUUGAUAAGCGAGUACUUCAGUUUCGGUCACCUAUAUAUUUGUCGAAAAAAAAUUUCCUAAAAUUUUAAUAGACAUAAUUUUAAAUUUUCAAAAAUCUCUCCGUAACAUGCUAUUUUCGUGAAACGGAGGUCGUGGGAACGAAUCCUCUCACAUAUGUGCACGCAGUGACUUUUUUCUUCUUCACUUGCAUAAAUUUUGAAACAAAUCUAACGGUUUAAAAUUAUAUAAAAGUUAUAUGCACGUUACGACGUAAUUACAUUAUAAUUAUACUGUAAUUAUAUAUGUUAACUUUUUAGGAAAAAAAUUGUCGACAAAUAUAUAGCAAAAUUGCUUCAAUUUUAGGACAUAAUUCUAGGUUAUUUUUGUGCAUAUGAAAAGAGUGUGGCAAUAAUGUUUAAAAGACCGCGAGUGGUAACAGGUGUGAUCCCCUACUCCCUAGCCCUCGUCAGUUCAUCAAUGGGUUCCGCUUAGGGGUGGGGAUUCGGUCUAACCAAAAAAUUUCGGUGUCGGUCUUCGGUCUUUCGGUCUUUGAAAAGUGAAGACCGAAUUUCAGCGCAAAAAAUGUCAGGACUGACAAAUUCGGUCUCGGUCUCAGUCUUGACCGAAAUUCAACAACAUUUUCAUAUAUGCAAAGAUAUAAUGGAAAUUUCAACACAAAAAUCACAAAAAAAAUCAUAAGCACUUAUAAGUAAAGACUUUUAUUAGGUUGCAUGCCUUGAAGAAGUAGGGAUGUGAAAAUUAGAAUUUAAUCCUAUUAAACAUAGUGGAUUGUAGGUUGCAUUUAGACUUUUUUUUUAUAAUUUGAUCUUUUCGGUCUAUUCGGUUUUCCGAGGAGACUAACCGAAUUGACCGAACAAAAUUCGGUUUUUCACUACCUAGAACCAAAUUUCUCGGUCUCGGUCUUUUUGGUUCGGUCUUUUUCUGCCCACCCCUAGUUCCGCUGUCAACGGACACGGUUGGCAUAGAUGUUGAUUCUGUAUUUUUUUAGCAGACUCAUCAUCGGAUGUGAGUGAAUACAGUGAUCAGGAGGUCAACGAGGUUACCAUGUCGAAGCUCGUUGAAGCGUUGGCUCUACCCUGCUUUGUUGCUCGCACUCAAGAUGAAGGUUUUCAUAAGGUUAUCUUCAAUACUGGUUGUAUGUCAGUUAUUUAAAGAGUUAAAUCGUCAUUGAUGGGCUGAUCUCCACUUCUCCAGUUGGUAUAAUGGUUGUAGAUAUCCAAGGAGACGGAUUUCUUCACCGUUAGUUUUUUCUCAUGUUUAUCAUGUGUCGAAUGUGAUGGCUCAUUUGCUAGAAUACUCUUGUGAACACCUACAGGGAAAAUGAAUAGGUUUCCUCGUGUGUUCUCAUUACCCCAGCUGGGAAUGGAGGAUUGCACCACAUGAAAAGUGCACAGAAUUUUCAUUUACCAUUUGGAACAUAUAAGUUCAAAUAUCAGCUAACGCAUAACGUUUUUCCCCUAUGCCAGGUCCCAAGGCAAAUCAAUCUAUGCAACUCCAAGUAACCGUAAUUUUAUCACAAGUUUAAGUGAGAGCAUCAAGUUUACUUAUUUACCAGCUUUUACGGAUUCCGCCUACGAUUUCAAACACCCCAUCUCACUGUUAUCAUAUGUUUCGCCAAUCCUUUGUUGAGUUUGUAUCACAUUCUUGUGGUUUUCUCCCCUAUUUGGCUAUUUCCUCUUCUGAUUUCAAAUGGCCAACCGAGGUAAUGUAAGCGACAUUAGGCCCAAACUAGAAAACUAAACAGGCCCAGUUUUCCUGGGCCACAUAGCCCGCAUCUCACUCGGCCCAUUGCGUUAGACACCGGUUAGCUCUUCGCGCCCAGCUUCCGGCACAGCGCCCACCCGCACCGCUGCUGCUGCUGCUGCGGCGGCUGAGCACCGCACCGCCGGCGUCUGGUGACGCCAUGCACGUCGCACCCUUCCGAAUUCGCGGUCUCUUCCCCCUUCAGGAGCGGCAGCCGGUCGAACGCCGCCGCGACGAACGUGGCCAGCACCACCACCACCGGCCCGGCGGCGACGAGCCCUCCCGGCGCGACGCCGCCGCCGAGCACGCCGCCGCGCGGCCCGGCCAGGAACACCGCCGCGGAAGCGCCUCCGCCUCCGGGGGCGCCCUCUGCCGCCGCAUGCGGCGGUGGGGACGGGAAGAAGCACCCCGCCAGGCCCAGUAUCUCCAUGGUGCCGCGGAGCACCACCGCCGCGGGCUCCCGGAGCACCACGUCCGCGACGCGCCCGGACGCGCCCAGCACCAGCGCGCCGCGCCGCGCGCGGCGCGCCACUGCGGCGACGCACGACACCACGUCUCGCCCCGCGGGGACCUCCACGACGAGGGCGCGCAUCGCGCUGGGGCACUCGUGCGCGAUCACGGCCACCGGCGGCGGCUUCGGCGCCCCGCGGCCCUUGCAGGGGCACAGCGCCGCCGCCGCCGCCCUGCUCGGCCGCCGGAGCUUGCCCGGCGCGGCCGCCGCCGCGUCGUUCGCGGUGACCACGCCCAUGUUCGCGUCAAAGAUUUUGCCCGCGUCGUCACGUACUUGUGGAUGCUUAAUUACUGUGAUUUUUAGAGCGUUUUAAAGGGCAGAUGCCCGUGUUCUUCGAAGUAGCUCAGCUGUUAAGAGGGAAAAUAAGCGUGAUGCGUUUUUAAUUGUUAAGUACUCGAACAUCCUAACAAGCACCCAACUGUCACGGUGCUCAUGUCCUGCAAAAACAUUAAAAAACAAGGACCCAACUGUCACGGUGCUCAUGUCCUGCAAAAACAUUUUCUGCAACAUGCAAGUAGGUAAAGUACAUGUUGAACUAAGCAUUUGGCAUGAACCAUAAUCAUGUUAAUGAAGGUGAAUCAGGGCUCCCCUUACCGUUUUUGGCGCGCUUAUCGCACUCCCGCGGUAACCGCGAGACAUACCGUGGUUACAAAAACUAAAAAGGUUACCGCGCAUGGUAACCGUGAUAACCGCGUGGUAACCACGCGGUUUUGUAAACCCUAGGGUGAAUCAGUGAAUUGCCUCUUCUAAAAUCUAAAUAUCCCUUCUUCAGGAAAAAUGUGUUUAAAAAAUUGACUGCAAAAGAUUCAAUGACUGAAACCAUUUUGAAGACUUUGUUUGGAGGUUGAUCCUGGGUGUAUCUGGAUCCCAAUGCAUUCCACUUGAUGUGGUGCUGAACUGCUGAUUCAAUUUAUAUUUACCAGUUGCAGUUUGAAAAACUUGGCCAUUUCAGCAUUCACUGAUCAAUUUAUCUUGCAUAUAAUGAUGCAGCAACAGGCAAAAAAGUAAUGUUGUUGAAUAGUACUGUGGUGUGCUAAAAUCAACCAAUUGAUUGAGGUGAACGCAUACGGUAUUUAAUAACUUAAAAGGGACAUAUUGAAUAAGCCUGAUCUACAUUUGGAGUGUGUUUCAGAAGUAACUGAUGGAAUCAGGAUAGAACACUGAAAACAGCUCUGGAAACUAAAGAAAUAUCAAACCGGUUACCACGACAUCUCUUCUGUUCAUGAAUCAAGGGAGUUGCCGAUGACAACAUGGGACAAACCUAAGCAGAAUCAGACGGCCAUGUUGGCAUUGUUAAGUUCAGAAAGUGCACAACUAACUGUAUCAGUAGCCAUGGCCAAGUUUCAUGUUUCAAUAAUUGCAGUCAAAGACUCAACUCGAAGUACAAACAUGGCUGCUGUUAGUACCACUAAUUUAGUAUCCCUCCACCGUAUCAGUACUUGCAAUCCCCCAUGAUCCCUGAAUAUACAAUACACCUGACACACUUGUUUUGAUUUUAUAAACCUGACACACUCGAUCAAUUGAUCCUCCUACUGAAUCUAUAUUGUAUUCCGCAUAGGCAUAGCCCAAUAGUCUGAACAGUGACGCGGAUACUUUCAGAAAAAACUCGACACAUCGCGGAGAGUCAGUAAGCAGAGACAGCGGUAGCUAGCGAGUAGCUCUUGACAAAAUAGUUGCCCAUCCUUUUCUUCAGACUAGAGAAGUUCAGACCAAGCUGUUCACCUCAUUUUUCUUUUCCAAGCUGCAGAGACUAGUGAGCCAUGUUUUUUUUCUCAGAGAAAAGAAUUAAGUUUCUCUUCCUUUCCAACUCGAACAGUCGUCGACAUCGCCAUCACGCCUAUAAAUGCAAGGCAAAAACCGAUCGAUCCGGGUCUAGACAGACACAGAGAGAGAGAGAGAGAGCGUCUACUCGUCUCUCCAAUAUUCCUCUAGCUGCUUUGCUUGUCGCUUGGUGGUGACGACGACGACGACGACGACUAGUGGUGGUGGAUUGGUUGGCAACUCUCGAGCCCACGUGGUUGUGGAGACCAGAAGAAAUAUGGGGGGCGUGAAUCACACACACACACACACAGACAAUCAUAUCCCGCGGUCAAUGCCGUCCAUGCUCUUCAACCAGCUUCCUUUCGUCACCUGUACAUCAUCAAAAAUCUGUCUUGUAUUCCGAUUCCCAAGUAGUAGUACUAGGAGUAGAUCUCAGCUUUCUCUUUCCCUAUUGUCAUCAAACUCUCCCAUGAUUUGAUAGUCGGUACCUGAUACCCCAUAUCUUCCAUUUUGUCAUGUGAGGUGCGUAUGUAAAGAAGCUCCCACUAAAAUUACCGCGGGCACGUUUCUAAAGCUACGAAAUGGCACGUUUUUCUAAAGAAUAUUUCAUCGUCGGUAUUUUUGAAACAAUUUAUUGAAUCCGUGUUUAACUUUGCAACAUAUAAUACUCAACAUAAAUUUUACAAAACCACAUAUUUUACUUAGUCGUACUUAAUUAAUUAUGCUCUAAUUAGCCGGCUAGUCAACUUUUUUUUUUAACGAAUUGACGAGGCCGCCAAUUUUAUUGAUUAGAGAAGAAGAAAACUGUACAAAAGGAAACUUUACAAAAGCAAAAACAGAGCUGCAACCCUGCUGAAAAGGCUAAUUACAGUGACAGCCAUGCAGCGAGGCUUCUCGCACCCGUAACGCUCCACGUUUUUACUUCCUCUUUUAUCUUGGGCUAGUCAACUUUCAUAAGUUGAUUAACUCUAUCGUUGUUAUAGGAAAUAAUCGAGUUAUAGGUAUACAAAUACUGACUCUAUCGUUAUUAAGCAUCAGCUGAGGUGUUUUCAACCGUGUUGGGAGAAUUCAAGCUCGAAGGCAAAAUCACGGAGAGAGUGUUUGUGACACCCAACUCAACGUCUAAUAAGGAACAAAUAAAGCAGAAGAUGAUAGGAUCCAGAUCCUCUGACUUUAGGCACUAAAGGUAGGGGCGUACAAUAAAAUAAGUCUGAUGGUACAAUAAGAAAUUGUGAUUUUGCAUAUAUUUUCUGUAGCAACAGUGUAAAACAGUAAAAUAUAUAGCAUCGCAUCACUGUUUUUUCAGUAUUUUAGCAUAUUUUAGUAAUCGAUCUCGUUCGUUUGCUGUGAAUCAGACAGCUAGAAACACCUCAGAGUCAUGGUAUUAUUCCUCUGCUUAUAACCCCCAAAGUUAGAGGAUCUCAUUCUUAAGGUAACAAGGGGCAGGGUAAUGAGGAUGAUCAACCGAGCUGAUAAAGGACCCUAUACUAGGCUCGUAGGUACAGUGUGCACGUAAGAACUGGGCCGGGGUCACUCACAAGAAGAAAUUCUGCAUCACUGCAAAUAAGAAUUUUCUUUUCUUACAUUGGUCAAAAGGGCUAAAGAAGAUUGAUUCUCCUUGUUUUUCACAUUUUCCAUUCUGGGGGAGAUAGGAGUAGUAAAUCACAACAAAAGACGCUUGGAAGUGUCCGGUAUGCAUGGAUUCCCUUUUGGAAACCUUUGGAAAAAGAACAGGCCUUUUUCUGCGUCCGAUUUGAAUGCAUUUUUUGUAGCUGAAACUCCCAGCUCCCUCGCCAAGUAGCCAUAGCCUUUCCCAAAGCCAAAGCCUUUUGCACUUUGCAGUUUGCACAUCCAGUUUUCUUCUCCAAUUAGGUGAACCUAAUUGAUAGUAAAUCAAUUAUCAAUUUCCAUAGGCUGCAUGGGCAGAGAGAGAGAGAGAGAGAGAGAGAGAGAGAGAGAGAGAGAGAGAGAGAUGUGUUAGUUGCUGAGUAGGCACGGUGCUCGUCUGGUCUACGCGGGUUCAAUCGCCGGCGUCAAAAAGCGCCGGUCCAAGAAAUCAGCUGCAGGAGACGUGCGGGGUGCGUCGUCGUCGCUAACCCAAGCUUAGCACCCGUACGUGCAUCUCCAUCCUGCCCCUGAAUUCACACUCUCUGUAGAACUCUUCAUGUCCUAAAAUAAAUUGAUUUCUCGUGUGUAAAAUAAAAUUUAAUACUUAAAGAAAAAUAUUGAACGGGCUUCGUUAAUACUCUGUUUUAAAAUACUAAUCUGUUUUAAAAUAUAAAAGAUUUUGAUUGAAUGGUAACAUCCUAAUCGUACAGAUUUAGACCGUAUUUAUUUAUAAGAUAUAUAUCUCAUAUAACCAAAAUCUAUUAUAUUUUAGGAGGGAUGGAGUAUCAAUUAUUAGGUGUAGCUAGAAUAUAUUGAAUAGAUAAUAAAUUUAUCGAUUUGUUAAUAAAAAGUUUGUAAGAGGUUUAAAAAUCAAUUUGUGAAAAAAUAACUUGUGUUAGAACGAAGGAGUACAAUUUGCUAAUUUUCACGGCAUCUUCUUGACGCAGAUCGGCAUCUUCAAGCUGCCCGGGUUUCCUAACUGAUUAGAGCAAGAAGACUUUAAUUUCCUCCUGGCUCUUGUACGUAAUUACAUCUGGUCAAACGACGCCACAAAUAUCUCAACCAGAUCAUCACGAGAUUAAUUCUAACAAGGCACUCGAUCCCGUGGUUUGUAUCGCGAUGGGAUGGAUAGCUGGUUAACCCGGUUUGCUAAUUGCUAAUCGAAAGGGACAGGUGCUUUUGUCUACGUUAUCUGCUAUAACCUACACGGUUAGGUUAGUCUAAGCAUUAGCAUAAGCCUAACAAAUUAAUCAACGGGGACACGUUAGAACGUACGUGCGUGCAUGAUGGAUUGGGAGAGGUUUUCGGCGAAUUUUGUUAAUUACUACUCCCUCAGCUAAAAAACAAACCCUGAAUUUUCGUGUCCAACUUUGACUAUCCGUCUUUAUAAAUUUUUUUUAUAAUUCGUAUUUUCAUUAUUGUUAGAUGAUAAAAUAUAAUUAAUAUUUUAUGUGUGAUUUGUCUUUUUAAUUUUUUCAUAUUUUUUUUAAAAUAAGACGAACGGUAAAACAUUGAACACGGAAAUCAGGGUUUCUCGUUUUCUUUGGAUGGAAGGAGUAGAUAUAUUAGCUGCGGAAGUCGCGUUCCAGGUGACUACAUGAAGACCAGAUCCACCAAUCAGGGGAUGCCGCUUCGAGGGGGCGAUGCCUCCAUUUUCCAACCGUAUAGUGCGAUACGACGUGGGCAGUUCUACCGUUCUACCCUCUCUGACCCUUCUUCUCAUUCUUGAUUUUUCCUGUGGUCGAUUGGAAUUUGGAAAUGAGUGGUGCCGACCCAGGAAAUUUCACCUACAAUUUGAGUUUAACAAAUCCAGCUCCUUUGAAAACUCCUGCUUUAUAAUACGGGUAAACUUUUGUUUUUGCUUACAUAUAUAGUCCAGCCGUCCCGGAACAUGUUUUCAUUUGAAACUUGUUGAGACUUAUAUUUCCUCCGUUUUUAAAUAGAUAAUAUUAUUGAUUUUUUCACACACAUUUAAUCAUUCGCCGUAUAAAAAAUGUGCAAAUAUGAGAGUGUAAAUUAAGCUAAUGAUAAACCAAGUCACAACAAAAUAAAAAUUAUGUAUUUUUAUUAAGACGAAUGGUUAUACAUGUAUUAAAAAAUUAAUUGUGUCAUCUAUUAAAAACUGAAGAUAAUAUAAGAGUAGUAGUUUCGCGGUAUUUUUGCUACGUCUAAAAAGUCAACAGUAGUGAAUGUAGGUUACUUAUGAAGUUCAUGUGCCGUAAAUGAGUCGUGCAUUAUUCCAAAACAAGGGGCUAAACCAUUGAGCUGCACCUUGAAUCAUAAUUUCAUUUGUUCGAGAAAAUGCGAACGUUGAGGGUGCUAUCCUCGAAUGGUAUGUGCAAAAUCAAUAAAUAAAGUUAUUUUUAAUCAGUGCUAUGUAUUAUAUAUACAGUUUUCUCAGUCUAAGUCCAAUAGCUGGUCUAAAAAAGAGGCGAUUAAUAUCCGAGAGAAGAGGAAUAUAUUUGUACGAUAUGCUCAAUGGACCCCUACAGUAAUUUUCUCUGGGGAAAACAAAAUGAGGAUUUUUGAGAUUUUUUGAUUCUACAUGAACCCCUGGCUCUCUUUUGAAAAGAAAAAAAAAAUCCUCGGACAAAUGCUUCAUAUUAGUUUAUAUUUGUACUAUAUAUUACUAUUCCAUAUGAUUUUUUUUAAGGUUUUGGAGUAGAGCUAAUAAUACGAUCACUUUUUUUUCCCUCAUCCACUAAAUGACUCCCCGUAUACUAAACAUUUUUUUAGAUGCAGAGAAGUUCCGAAAUGUUACAAUACGCCUUUUGCAGGAAUUCUUAAUAUGCAUCUACCACCUCUUUAUAAACUCGAACAAGUUGCCAAUAAAUGUUGUUGGAUAAAAGAGAAAUUUUAUGGUCCUUAAAGAAAAAAUUAUACACUUGACAUAACUAUAAUUGACGAUACUAAAUUUUACAUAAAAAUAUAUAUGAUAUUUCCCUCGAUGAAAUCAUCGGCCAGAUCCCCGAUGCAUCUCCCGACAAAUAAAAGCUGCUCCCAUCCAAAUUGCAGUGUUGAUUUUGCUUAUACUAAACGUACGGCAGGGAACUAACCAACGAGGCAACAAGUGCUGCACACAAAAACCGUGCAAGAACGUGACAGCACACCACAUGCUAGCUUAAUUCGUCAGCACACUCGUGAAAAUCUCGUUGAAGAAACCAAACUAGCUAGCUAGAAAUGUGAACAGACGAGGGAGAAGGCGGCGUUACGUUAAAAAAAAAUACACACAUAAUUCCAGAUGUGUACCUGUAGCCUGGACAAUGCACUACUACUCCAGUAAACAAACUAAUCUUAGCUAGGUCGUUGCUACACAUGCGUACGUGGUCACGGUGACAAUUGGCACGUACGUACGUGGAAACCUUUCUUUUGUCAACGGGCGACCGGUUUGUUUACGCUGACAUUUGUGUCCUCCAUGGAAUCAUCACGCGUCGAUCGACCGAUCGAUCAAGUUAAUCACGCCAGUUAAUCCGUAUCAGGGGGAGGUAAUAAUGAAACCCCCAUUGACCAGCUCCUCCAUUGAUUGCUUCAUCUUGAGAUCUUCUACGUUGGCGGCCAGGUUAAGUCAAAGAAGGAUCAAUUCUGCGGGUAAUUAAGUCGCCCAAGACGGUCGAUCGAUCGAUCGAUCGGUCCGUGCAGUACUACUCCGGCGUCAGAACUCGGAAGAAUAUAUAUAACUAAUCCUCCACGGUUGGUACGUGGUUUGAACUUGAUCGCUUGUUUUUGUUCGGUUUAAAUAUAUAAUUAAGCUGCGUUUCUAAAUUCCACAAUCGUCAGCGGGUUAAAGCUAGUUCUUUCCCACUCGGAGGAGCAGAAGCUAAACAACAACGAGUCAUUUGGAAUACAAGAAUUUCAGAAAGGAAUUAUAUACUACUCGAAUAGGGUAGUUUGUAGAUAACCGGAUUUUUCUUCCCUUGCACUAAACUGAAGAUGAGACCGACCGUGCAUCGGCGCAUGGACGUAAAGGUACACAACAGCUCAUUGCAUUUUCUCCGCUAUCUAGACAUAACUGUAUUUUCUGAGUCGUUUUAUGAUCGUGACUCACUUAGACCUAACACCGAACAGCGUGCGCGUUCGACGAUCCCCGUCCCAUGCAUGCAAGUGGAGCCUUGGACAGUUACGCACGCGACUGGGCAGCCUACCAUCCCGAAAUGCAGUUGCACAUAGUUGCCCAUUUCGGUGGCAGUUGACUGAUCCUCCAGUUACACACGCUUCUCUCGUAAUUUACCACUCUUCUCUGUAAAACCAAGUCUCUCAGAAGCUCAGAUAAGAUCGUUCAGAACUUCAGAUGCAACCUGAAAUGAGUGAUUUUGCCGUUCCUUGAUCCCCAGGCAAACUCAACGCAACGACGACCGGUGCUCCGAAACCGGGGCAUGCAGCGUGCACGCAUGUGCGCUCUUUCCCUGCGCAAUCGAGGGCAUAUGCCUUCCCAAAAUUUUUACCUCGUCACAUCGAAUGUUUAGACAUGUGUAUGGAAUACUAAAUAUAAACGAAAAAAAUAACUAAUUGCACAGAUUACGUGUAAAUUGUGAGACAAAUAUUUUAAACCUAAUUACUCCAUGAUUUAACAAUGUAGUGCAAUAGUAAACAUUUGCUAAUGAUGGAUUAAUUAGAUAUAAUAAAUUCGUCUCGAAGUUUACAGGCGAAAUCUGUAAUUCGUUUUAUUAUUAGUCUAUAUUUAAUACUUUAAACGUGUCUGUAUAUUCGAUGUGACACGCUAAAACUUUACACCAUAGAUCUAAAACACCCCCUGCUACUAAUCAGUUGAGGUCAAAGAAAGACUACAGAGGUGGGAGGCCGAGACGCGCCUUUUGGCCGGUAGAGGAGACGUGGACCGGGGGGCCGCUCGUGUAGAAACCGGAAAGAAUCAUCAGUUGCUCACUUGCCCAUGCCGGCCGGUCCAUGACUCGAUCGCACAGUGAUUCUCUCUAGAAGCUACCGAUCCUAGGGUCUAGGAUCUUGUAAAACCCGGCCCGCCCGUACGUCCGUCCGUCCGCCCUCGUGCUCCCAUCGCUUCGCGCGCCUGGUUCGUUGGACACCGCGUCGACGGUGUCCACGCCCACGCGACGCGACGGCGGCAAGGAGAGCGCUCGGAUUCGUCGCAUGCUAGCGCGGCGCACCGGCUGCGGGGGCGGAUCCGAUCGAGCGCGCGGUCAACUGCCGGUGGCCGGCUUGACGGUUGGGGGGGUGGAGCUGGCUGCCAGCUGGUGCCCAGGGGGGGGGGGGGGGGGGAGUUUCGCCGUUUCCGCACGAGUAAAUAUGACGCGUGGGGCCUAGCUCUCCCGGCGCCGCAAUCCACGCCCAGCCAGCACGCGCAACGACGCAUGGAGCCUGUCAUCUCCUACGGUUUCUCUCCUGUUCCUGUAGCACAUUUCUUCGGGGCGCUGGUGGGUGGGGACGCGGCCGGUCGACGCGUGCGCCCGGUGUCAGGGAGGGGACGUACGUAACGCGGAGUUGCUAAGGGCAGAUAUAAUAACAGUCUAUUAGCCAGCUGUAAACAUAUUUUAAUGAGAUAUAAAAAAUAAGAGAGAAGAGCAACGGGCUAUAAAUCUAUAGCCAGCUGUAGCACGGACUUCAAGACGUAGUGUGUGUAUGACAGGUGAGACCAUAUAGUAAUACUCCCUCCGUUUCAAAAUGUUUGACACCGUUGACUUUUUAGUACGUGUUUAACCAUUUGUCUUAUUUAAAAAAUUUAAGUAAUUAUUUAUUCUCUUUGUAUCAUUUGAUUUAUUGUUAAAUAUAUUUUCAUGUACACAUUUAGUUUUACAUAUUUCACAAUUUUUUUGAAUAAGACGAACGGUCAAAUAUGUGCUAAAAAGUCAACGUUGUCAAACAUUUUAAAACGGAGGGAGUAGUAUAGUAAGCAAUUAUUGUAUGAAUUGGCUAUUAGAUUAGCUAUAGAAAAAUUAGAGCUAGUAGUGCUCUAACUCCCUCCCGGGUCCCAGUCGGUUGGGACUUGGGACUGGCUGGCCGCUGGCGGGGUGUCGGACCGGGCGUCGUGUCGCGGACUCGGCGUGUGGGUACGUCGUCGACUCGUCGCACGCCACUGUAUUUACGUAUACUCGCGGGUCAUGCACGCCGGCGGCCUCCACUUUGUCGCCCAUCUUCACCGAUUCAGUGGGCUAAUUUUUUUUUUGAAGUCCUGAGAAAAAUUAUUUUUUGUUGAAAUUUCUAUGCCUUCCAUCUUCACCGAUUCAAGGAGGGUAUUUUACUAUUGUAGUCCUGAGAAAAUUAUUUUCGUUGAAAUUUCUAUGGUCUACACAGUUCAGAUAAGCCUUAACUAAAAAAAGUCAAUCAACCACGAUGUUCUUUUUUUCAACAAUAAGAAUGAACUCACGAUUUUUUUUUAAAAAAACCAAUCAAAUAGGCUAGAAUUAGCUCUAACCUGUAUAUAAACAAGUAGUCUUCCAACCCUCUUAAAAUGAGACACAUUCUUCUUAAUAUAAAAUAUCGGCAACAACAUUACCGUUCGAAAAAAAAAAUCAUCCAACCAACUGGAAACAUGGAUAACAUGUAAAAUUUAACCAGGAGGGACUAAAUAUUCAAUAAAUCUUGAUAUUCUCUUUUAGGCUGCGUUCGUUUUAGGGUGUUCCCAACCCCUGUCUCUCGUUUUCCACGUGCACGCUUUUCAAACUGCUAAACGGUGCGUUUUUUUUUAAAAAACAAUUAUAUACGAAAGUUGCUUAAAAAAAUCAAAUUAAUCUAUUUUUUUAAAAAUAGCUAAUACUUAAUUAAUCACGCGCUAAUGGACCGCUCCGUUUUUCGUGCGAAGGAGAUGGGUUCCCAACCCCAUGUAUCGAACACAGCCUAACACUUUCCCAACUCAUUUCUCUCGUUUUCCGUGCGCACGCUUUUCAAAUUGCUAAAUGGUGUGUUUUUUUUAAAAAAAUCUUAUAUGAAAGUUAUUUUAAAAAACAUAUUAGUCUAUUUUUUAAAUUUAUUUUAGCUAAUAUUUAAUUAAUUAUGUGCUAAACACUAUUUCGUUUUGCGUGCACACAACCCUCACUCCCGAACACAGCCUAAGAAAAUACUACUACUACUACUACUCUACUAAAAUAUAUCUGAUGCUUAGGACAAUAUUUAGUUAAACUUCUAAAAUUUCGAUCGUCAAUAACUUAUCAAUUUUUUAAUUAAAUAUGAGACAACUAGAUUUUUCUUGAAAGAAAAUUACUAUCAUUAUUAGAAUUACCUAUUUAGAUAGUGGAAAUGGUUUUAUUCCAGAACUUCGCCGGACAUACGACACACACAUACAAACCAAUUAUAACGACUUACUGGAGACAAAUAGAACUACAUUAAAUAAAAAUCAGUGUGGGAUUAAUCUCACCAAUCUCUCCCAUCAUAUUGAUUCAUAUGUCUCGUGCAUGAUCGUGCAAUCUUGAAUAUAGAUGUUCUUGGUUUUCAACUCUUCGGCUCUGAUAUCACUUCUCAGCUAAAGAACAAUUCUACCUCCCACGACACCUUUAGUUUACAGUGUGUUUGAGUAUGCAACUUGCAUUAGACAACUAGUAGCUGUUUAAAACUUUUAUAUGGUACCCAUUUGGAACAAUCCAGCAUAAGUAGAUAGGCACAUGUGAAAUAGCGUUGCCUUGCCUUUUGGACUUUGUGCUAUCAUCGUGUUGAAAUUAACUCAACCAGAUUAGGACCAAUUUCUUCCGGACUCGAGAGAGAAAUUGCAACCUCUCUUUCAAGCAUGUGUCUUAUAUAAUUCCUCCACUCUCCAACAAAAACAAUUAAUUUCUAAAAAGUAGAGAAACUUUUGUGGGCUACUUACCCUACAAACUCAAAGUUCACACAUGCCAAUAUUGUCCAAGCAUAUGCUGAUAUGCCAUGCAUACACCGACUUUAUCCCAAUUAUCAAAAAGGCAGGAGCCAACUUUUAGCUAGAUUCGUGUAUUAACAAAACACCAGCGAUCGCAUCUUGGACCGUUCCCACAACAUAAUAUUUCUCCAGUUCUCCCACUGUAUAUAUAUCCCCCUGCUUAUUUGCAGUUCGACAUGCAAGUAUGCAACUAGUGACAGUCUUAUCCGAAAACGACGCGAAGAAGAAAGAAAAAAGAAAAAAGAAAAAAAGAGGCUGCGUGUCACGUACUUGCAUCUCGGGGUGUGGGCCCGGGGGGGUUUUGGGCGGUGGGGGCCGCGGGAGUCAAGGGCGUUGACGUUUUCUCCACGUGGAUCGGCCCGGCGGCCCAAUCGGGAGCGGAGGUUUCGUGGAACGGUGGAAGAACUGGUCCCUGCACCCAUUGACCCAAACCCUAACCCUCCUCGAACUCAGAGCAAAAUACACAAAGAAACAAAUUUAUUUAUACGUUAAACUGGUGGGCCCAGCCUGGCCAUAGAAGAUCUCAGAAAGUUUUUAGUAGCGGCAAUAAAGAAAGGGUAAGAUCCGAGUCCGCUGUGUGGACUCGCGACCCUGUAGCUGUAGCCGAUCAAUCACAGGCACGAUCCUCCCGAACUCGUCUCUGACCAAUCCAGACCUGCGUUUCUUUCUCUUUUCUCGGUUGGGGGGCAAGUAAUCUACGGAAGGAACCUUCUGACCGUGGAAAAAAAAAACGCCCCUCGUGCAGUACAUGCUGACCUCAAUAUUUCUUCCCUAUUGCACACCUGCAUCGGCGCUCGUACCGCCGGAGAUCGAAUCCGAGAUAACCGUAGUAGUGGCGAUCGAUCGACACGUCGAGCGGCGGAGUGGACGUGUACGGUGCACCGUCCAUCUGCCCGUGCAAAUGUACACAAAACCUCUUUCAUCAAGCUACGUGGUGUGGGCGAGUGACAGCGCAACGGUGGAUGGAUGGAUGAUGGAUGUUGAAAACCGGUAGACCGGCGCGGGGUGGGAGUCGCCGUUGCGGGGGGCCUCGCUUUGGUUAAUUUGGCGUUGCGACGACGGGAGCCGUCGGUCGCUUUCCGCUCCACGGAAAAAAAAAAUCUCACGCUUUCUUAACGAGUUGGGAUUCUGAUCCGGAAGAGAAAAGGCGGAAAGCUAAAGUGGAGACACGCACGUAAACGAGCCGUCUCCGCGCCUCGCCGGAAAGGACGAUCCGGUCGCCUCGGCACCAGGCUCGAGUCGUCGUCGACUCCCGGGUCGGCCAAUGGGGACUCGCCACGUGUGCGCCUCGCCACUGACGCAGCUCCUGAUGUCAGAGUCGAGGGUGCUUCCCUUUUUUAUACGAGCCUCCUCCCACCGGUGAGAGACUUCAGACUCUCCCACUCUCUUCUCCCCCCUAAUUAUCUCUCUCUCCCUACCACGUCGUCUUCUCUUCUCUAUCUUCUCCGCCUCCGGGAAGAAGGACAAGAGGAGUAGGAGCUCCAGUUGCAUGGACAAGGGCCACCUCGGUGGUGGCGGAGGAGGAGGAGGUGGGCUGCUCGCUCUGGACGCGUCGCCGCGCCCGCUCGGCUUCUUGAACCUGCUCUCCCCGCCGCCGUUCCACAGGUCGACCAUGGAGGCCG
This 49202-nucleotide long non-coding RNA is filed under the name Oryza sativa (Asian cultivated rice). RNAcentral's name for it is "long non-coding RNA (OSAT_LNC000043)". The stretch from base 41099 to 41302 matches the Rfam family "MIR812 microRNA precursor family". The record is from RNAcentral. Lineage: Eukaryota; Viridiplantae; Streptophyta; Magnoliopsida; Poales; Poaceae.